AGGAUGAGGACCUGCCUACUCCAUCUCCCAAGGCGUCGCCUGUCCUACAAAGGCUUCGCAAAGGACCACGGCCUCAAGUCCCUCUUCCGAGCGUUCCAGAAGGAGAAGUGCACCAUCAACCUGUUGCACGUCAAGUGUUUUUAGAAGCCCCUCCUGCUGUGAAUGUCUCCGUGUCUGAAGCACCAGCUGCUGAAGACAAUCCGGCUGCAUCAACCAAUGACGAACAUCAAGACAAUCGUGUCCCUACUCCACCUAUUCCUGAAGAAGCUGUUCAUGAAGUGAACGUGUCUGUGCCUGACCCUCCAGCUCAACAAGUGGAGGUUGAAAACCUUGAGGCUGCCACCACCAACACCAAUGAAGCCAAUGACAUAGUCAUGGCUGAAGCUACUGUGGAGCCUGUCCCCAGCACCGUACCAGAAGUCAAUGCUGAAAAUGCUCCUGAAGCUUCUGUUAUGCAGCACAAAGCCACUAUUGCUGCCACUGCUCCUGUUCCGCCACCAAGGCCCUAUACAAUUGAGCAAGCAUACAACCAUGGCAAGCUAAUCACAGUAAGAUGGCCCGUUCUGGUCCCUCCGCCUAAUGUCUCUGGUCCUUAGUUUGACUAUCACAUUGAGCAUAGGCCUCAGGUCCAUAAGCCAAAGCCAAGACUGCCAAGGUUUCCAGGUACUGCCACAUCUGUCGGGUCCUUCAAUGCAAAUGGCUUCAAAAGCCACAACACAUUCUUUGACAGCUCAAAGAACCCCUACACAAAGCCAAGAAUAUCAUCAGAUCAUUUUUGGAGUCAUCAGCAAUGAAGCUAUUACUCCUGUAUUCUGUAUGGUCAAGGGCGCAUUUUCCCUCAUAUGCGCCUCGACAGUGAAGCCAUUGCAGGCCUACCAUGCUUAGAAGAAGCACUAGACUGCUUUUGUGAUGCUGGUCUGCUCAGUUUUGUGACAGACAAAGAACAUUGGAAUGAAGAACUUUUGCUUCAAUUCUAUGCUACGCUCCACAUUCGCGGUUAUAACAAAGAUACGAAGACAUGGAUUCUCGAGUGGAUGACAGGAAAUGUUCAUCAUGAAGCCAAAGCUCUUGACAUCCUUGAGCUUACAGGCCUAUCCACUCCAGGAGAGCUUUAUGAACCUGGCUGUCAAAACCACCACAAUGCAUUGGCGAGCAUCUUCCACAAGCCUGAACCCAACAUGAGCCAGAUGUUGAGCAUGAUGAAGCCAUUGCCUCAUGAAGCUGAAUACCCAAAGGAGUUCUUUGUUGAUGACCUUGAGUAUCUGUCGCGCACCAUAUAUCACAUCAUCAGGCGGACUCUAUGGCCUAUCAAAGGACAUUCAUCAGCUGCCAAACUCGAAGGAGCCAUGAAGACAUUGGUCUUUUACAUCCUCAAUGGCAUCAGCUUCAAUGCACAAGAUUUCUUCAUCAGGCAACUGGCUGCAUCUGGAUCUGACCUUUUUGGCCUGAAAUUCUAUGCUCCAUGGGUCAUGCGCCUCAUAAAGCAACACUCUGUUGUCAACUAUCAGCCCUCUGCUCGCAAUCAUGUGAUCUUCCUACCAGAGGUUGAUAUGUCAGUUGAAGCCAUAUACCCUGAACCUGCAAAGAAGCCUCUUUGUCUUCAAAAUGCUGAACAUCAAAGCUUCACUCAGCCUAUGGAAGGAAUCCAAGCUGUCACGCGUGUCUAUCCGAUGGCUGGAAAUACUCGUCUGCCUCAUCGUGCGCCAACUGAAGCUACUGAGAGCACAAUUGCUCAAAGGCCAAAGGAGCGCUCUCGGGUCCUCAAUGACCGAGAACUUCUUGUGGCUCUGCAUCAGAAACAUGAUAAGCAUCAUUUCUGGCUCAAGCGUCAGAUGCAAAGUCUCUUGGUGGAUGUAAAUCGCAUUCGCAAUCUUGCCACCAAGAAUGCAUUUGUCACUCAUGAAACUUGUCGGCGAUCAUGGAAGAGUUUGACCCUGCUCAGUGCUGAAGCAGAUCUUCAAGACGAUGGCUUCACUGAGAGAUUCAAGUUUGACUCCACUCCUCCACGGAAUGCUGUCCUAUGUAGAACUCCAUCUCUUGAAGACUCUGACUAUUCUUCCUCCGUGGAAACCGUGAAUGCCAAUGUGAUCGAUGAUGAAGAUGAUGCUACUUCACCACCCGCUACUUCUGCACGCAUCGACACUGCACCAAGUUCAUCUGCACCACCAAACAACAACGACAACCCUGCUGCUUCAACUGCUCCUCAUGAGGACGAGUAGAUGCUCUAUGUCUUCAAACCUUUUUGGUCAUUACUGACAAAAGGGGGAGAAGCGUAUGAGUUUGAUAGUCUUCAAGCGGGUUCAUAUGGGCGGUUGCUUCAUAUUUUGCCUAGUGUUUACAACUCUUGCUUUUGAUACAUUUCGUUCUUUGAGUCGUAACACUUAAACUCGAUGGUCGUCUACUACUUAUUUGCUCUUCAUGUGCGAUGAUAAAUUCCGCACUUAGAUCAUUCCGCACUUAGAUCAUUCUGCAGACGUCCAUUUUUCAUAAUGCAUGUCAUUCCUUAAGUUAUAUCAUUUCAUGCAUGAUGAAUUAUCUUCAUAAGUUGAAGAGGAUCUCCACAAGUAAAACCUGCCAUGUGCAUUUGCAUUCCAAAAGCAAAUCAUCUAUAUGCACAUCUUCAGGGGGAGCCCUUGCCACUUAUGAAGACAAUACCCUAUCCUUUACAAUUUCACAUACUUCUUUCCCGUUGAAAACUUCAACCAGUUUGUCAUCAAUCACCAAAAAGGGGGAGAUUGUAAGUGCAUCUAGUGCCACCCCUAGUUGGUUUUGGAGUAUUGACAACAAAGUUGGUUGAGGGACUAAUGCGUUUGUGAGAAUUGCAGGAUAACGCAGGUAGUGUCCCUCAUUGAUUCGGUUUACCUACCGGAGACGACCCCAAAAAAUGUAUGAAGACAUUGAAGACAAUGGUGGUAUGUGAAGAUAUUCACAUUGAAGACUAUGACAAGAGAAGACAUUGAGCGAAGACUAUGGAGCGCGAAGACUGUGUUGUUUCGUUGUUUCCUUUUCUUCUUCGUUGAGUCAUAUGAACCACCGUACUGUUAAGUGGGGUCCAAGUGAACAAAGUCAGAGUGACUGAAGUGAUGCUCAACCCAAAUCCUAUGUCUUCGAGCGAAGACAAUGAGAGCAAAUCUUAUCCAGAGCUGGAUGAGUCAGCUUUGCUUGUAGCCCAAGUAAAGUUGUCGUGUGUGUUUGAAAUCUGACCGUUGGAACACGUGUCAGUUCCUUAGUGACCCAGGGUCAUUUCGGACAUAUCAGGUCGGGUUGCCUUGUGGCUAUAAAUAGCCCACCCCCUACACCAUAAAUUGGUGGCUGCUCAGAGUUAGUUUACGGCUUUUGUCAUUUUGAGAGCAACCCACCUCGAAGCCUUUGAGAGAGAAAUCCUUGCGAGGACAAAGCCCAAACACCCAGAGCCAAAGAGUGUUAGGCAUCACUGAAGUCUGUGUGACCUGAAGACUUAUUACACUUGAGGACUGUGUAUCCUCCAGCCGGUUAGGCGUCGCGUUCUGAGCAUCCAAGAGUCAUUGUGGAUUGCCGGUGAACGAAGUCUGUGAAGGUUUGGAAGUCUACCUUGAAGACUUACCAGAGUGAUUGGGCGAGGACUGUGUGUCCUUAGCUCAAGGGGAAUAAGGUGAAGACGCGGUCUUCUGAGUUGAAUCUCAGCCUCCCUAACCAGAUGUACAGUUGUCACAGCAACUGGAACUGGUCCAACAAAUCCUGUGUCUUCAACAAGUGACUGGUUCUAUCCCUUCCCUCCUUUACUUUGAGUUUGUCUUCAUGAAGUCAUUGCUUAUUUGUCUUAUCUAUUUGACUUCAUCGCUUGACUACUAUCGUUGAUUGGCUUCGUACUAUCUUCCAUCCUGAUCCUUACUACCUUGCUGCUAUUAGUCUUUGUACGUUCACAUUAUUGCAUACUUGACUAUGGCUUGCUCGUUGUAGUUUAUCUUCCGCUGCAUAUCAAUUAGGUCAUUUCUAUUGUUUGUCUUCGAAACUUCCACGUUUUGAAGACUUUGAUAAAAAUCGCCUAUUCACCCCCCCUCUAGUCGAUAACUAGCACUUUCAACUACCAUCACAGAAGAAGACUCAAACCAGUCCAGCUCAGUGGCAUGUCAAGUGUUCCCUGAAGACAAUCCUUCUGUGACAGUCCCAGUGUCUGAAGCUAAUGCUUCUGAAGACAUUCUGGCUGCAUUAGCUGAUGAAAGACAAUGAUAAGAAGAGCGUGUUGCUACUCCCCCUACCACCCAAGAAGUUGUUCUCGAGGAGAACGUGUCUGUGCCCGACCCUCCACCUACUCAAGUGGAGGUUGAGAAUCCUGAGGCGGUCACCAACAACACCACUGAAGCUAAUGAUGUUGUCAUGGCUAAAGACAAUGUGGCGCCUGCAAUAAACACUGUGCUUGAAGCCAAUGAUGCACCUGCCACUAAUGUGCAGCCUGACGCCAUUGCCAAUGCCUCUGCUCCUGUCCCGCCUCCAAGGCCUCAUACCAUUGAGCAAGCAUUCUAUCAAGGCGAGCUGGUCACAGUGAGAUGGCCAAUUCUGGUUCCUCCGCCUGCUCCUGGACCUCAAUUUGAUUAUCAUGUGGAGCACAGGCCACAGGUUCAGAAGCCAAAGCCCAGAUUGCCACAGUUUCCAGGUACUGCAUCAACACCAGGCUCGUUCAAUGUCAACGGUUUCAUUGCACACAACACCUUCUUCGAUAACACCAAGAACCCAUAUUCCAAGCCAAGGAUAUCAUCUGAUCGGUUCUAGAGUUAUCAGCAGCGCAGCUACUACUCCUAUAUUCUAUACAAUCAGGAGUGCAUAUUUCCUCAUAUGCGUCUGGAUUGUGAAGCCAUUGCUGGCCUGCCCUGCUUAGAAGAAGCACUUGACUGUUUCCGAGAUGCAGGCCUGCUCCAGUUUGUUACUGAUAAGGAGCAUUGGAAUGAAGAGCUUCUGCUACAAUUUUAUGCAACUCUCCACGUUCGCGGCUACAACAGGGAUCCAACGACAUGGGUCCUUGAGUGGAUGACAGGCAAUGUCCAUCAUGAAGCCAAAGCCUUUGAUCCCAUUGAGCUUACCGGCCUGUCCACUCGAGGUGAACUGUAUGAACCUGGUUGUCAGCUUCACCGCGAUGCAUUGGAGAGCAUCUUUCAGAAGCCAAAUCCCAACAUGAGCCAAAUGCUAAGUAUGAUGAAGCCACUGCCCCUAGGAUGCCGAAUAUCCCAAGGAAUUCCUUGUUGAAGACCUAAAGUAUCUGGCCCACACCAUCUAUCACAUCAUUAGGCAAACUCUAUGGCCCAUCAAAGGGCAUUCCUCCUCAGCAAAGCUUGAAGGUGCAAUGAAGACAUUGGUCUUCUAUAUUCUCAAUGGCAAAAGCUUCAAUGCUCAGGAUUUCUUCAUUCGCCAAUUUGCUGCAUCUAGCUCUGACAUCUUUGGUCUGAAAUUCUAUGCUCCUUGGAUUAUACGUUUGAUCAAGCUUCACUCUGCCAUUGACUAUCAUCCCUCUGCACGUAACCAUCUCAUAUUUCUACCAGAGGUUGAUAUGUCCAUUGAAGCCAUUUACCCAGAGCCUGCCAAGGAAGCACUAUAUCUUCACAAUGCAGAUCGUCAGAGCUUUUCCCAGCAUGUUGAAGGUGUUCAGGUUGCUUCUCAUGUUUAUCCUCUGGCAGGCAACACUCGCCGUGCAUGCACUGAAGCCACAUAAAGUGCUAUUGCUCCAAGGCCUCGGAAGCGAUCUCGUGUGCUCAAUGACCGACAGCUUCUCGUGGCCUUGCAUUAGAAACAUGACAAGCAUCAUUACUGGAUGAAGCGUCAAAUGCAAAGCCUCUUGGUGGAUGUCAAUCACAUUCGCAAUCUUGCCACCAAGAAUGCCUUUGUCACUCAUGAAACCUGUCGGAGGUCCUGGAAGAGUCUGACAUUGCUAAGUGCUGAAGCUGAUCUUCAAGACGAUGGCUCACCAAGAGAUUCAAGUUCGACUCCACUCCUCCCAGGAAUGCUGUCUUGCGUCGAACCCUGUCCCUUGGAGAUUCAGAGUACUCCUCCUCUGCAGCAACUGUAAAUGCCAGAGUCCUGGAUGGCGCAGAUGAUGCUACCUCACCACCUCCAACCUCAGCGCGUAUCGACACUGCACCAAGCUCUUCUACACCACCAAACCUCAACAACGACCCUACUGCUUCACCUACUCCUCAUGGGAACGAGUAGUGACUAUGUCUUCAAACCUUUUUGGUUCUUACUGACAAAAGGGGGAGAAGCAUAUGUUGAUAGUCUUCAAGCGGGUCAUAUGGGUGGUUGAUAUACUUUUUCCUAGUGCUUACAACGCUUGCUUUUGAUACAUUUGGUUCUUUGAGUUGUAACACUUGAACUUGAUGGUCGUCUGCUACUUUUUCUGCUAUUAUGUGUGAUGCGACGAUAAAUUCCGCAUGUGCGAUGAUAAAUCCCGCAUGAAGUCAUUGGUAGACAUCCAUUUUUCAUUAUGCAUGUCAUUAUUCCUGUAUAUCUAUUCAUGCAUGGUGUAUUGUCUUCAUAUGGUGAAGAGGAUCUCCACAAGUACAACCUGCCAUGUGCAUUUGCAUUCCAACGCAAAACAUUUAUAUGCACAUCUUCAGGGGGAGCAUUUUUUCCAUCUAUGAAGACAAUAUCUUAAUCCUUUACAACUUCACAUACUUUUAUCCCCGUUGAAAACUUCAACCAGUUUGUCAUCAAUCACCAAAAAAGGGAGAUUGUAAGUGCAUCUAGUGCCACCCCUAGUUGGUUUUGGAGUAUUGAUGACAAACCUGGUUGAGGGACUAAUGUGUUUGUGAGAAUUGCAGGAUAACACAGGUAGUAGUCCCUCAUUGAUUCGGUUUACCUACCGGAGAUAACCCCUAAAAAUGUGUGAAGACAUUGAACACAAUGGUGGUCUGUGAAGCCAUUCACGUUGAAGACUAUGACACGAGAAGACAUUGAGUGAAGACUAUGGAGCGCAAAGACUUAGUUAUUUUGUUGUUUCCUUUUCUUCUUUAUUGAGUCAUAGGAACCACCGCACUGUUAAGUGGGGUCCAAGUGAACAAAGUCAGAGUGACUGAAGUGAUGCUCAACCAAAUCCUAUGUCUUCGAGCGAAGACAAUGAGAGCAAAUCUUAUCCAGAGUCGGAUGAGUCAGCUUGACUUGUAGCCCAAGUCAAGCUGUCGCGUGUGUUUGAAAUCUGACUGUUGCGACACGUGUCAGUUCCUUAGUGACCCAAGGUCAUUUUGGACAAAUCAGGUCGGGUUGCCCAGUGGCUAUAAAUAGCCCACCCCCUACACCAUAAAUUGGGGGCUGCUCAGAGUUAGUACACGGCUUUUGUCAUUUGAGAGCAACCCACCGCCGAAGCUUUCGAGAGAGAAUCCUUGCGAGGACAAAGCCCAAACCACCCAGAGCCCAAAGAGUGUUUGGAAUCACUGAAGUCUUUCUGUCCGCGUGAUCUAAAGACUUCUUACACUUGAGGACUGUGAAUCCUCCAGCCGGUUAGGCGUCGCGUUCUGAGCAUCCAAGAGUCAUUGUGGAUUGCCGGUGAAUGAAGUCUAUGAAGGUUCAGAAGUCUACCUUGAAGACUUACCAGAGUGAUUGGGCGGGGACUAAGUGUCCUUAGCUCAAGGGUAAUAAGGUGAAGACGAGGUCUUCUGAGUUGAAUCUCAGCCUCCCUAACCAGACGUACAGUUGUCACAACAACUGGAACUGGUCGAACAAAUCCCUGUCCUUCUGAAGCCACUGGUUCUAUCUCUUACUUCUCUUUACAUAUAGUUUGUCUUCGUGAUGUCAUUGCCUGCUUGCAUUAUCUGUUUGACUUCACUAUGUGACUACCUGUUCUGAUUGGCUUCAUACUAUUUUCCAUCCUGAUCUUUACUACCUAGCUGCUAUUAGUCUUUGUGCUUUCACUUCAUUGAAUACUUGACUAUGGCUUGUCUAGCGUAGUCUAUCUUCCACUGCAUAUGAAUAGUGUCGGUUCGGUUAUUUGUCUUCGAAACUCCCAUGUUUUGAAGACUUCCAUAAAAAAUCGCCUAUUCACCCCCCCUCUAGUCGAUAACUAGCCCUUUCAAGGGCAUUUUGAGGAAGCCCAUCGUAGGAAUAUACAAGCCAAGUUUUAUAAUGAAAAAUUCCCACUAGUAUAUGAAAGUGAUAACAUAUGAGAGUCUCUAUAUGAAGAACAUGGUUCUACUUUGAAGCACAAGUGUGGAAAAGGAUAGUAACAUUGCCCCUUUUCUAUUUUCUUUUUUCUUUUUUUCUUUUAGGACUUUCUUCUUUUUUUUUCUUUUUUUUCUUUGGCCUUUUUUUUCUUUUUGGCCUUUCCUUUUUUUAAUUUGGGACAAUGCUCCAAUAUGAUGAUCAUCACACUUCUAUUUAUUUACAACUCAUGAAUUACAACCCAAAACUAGAACAAGAUAUGACUCUAUAUGAAUGCCUCCGGCGGUGUACCAGGAUGGGCAAUGAAUCAAGAGUGACAUGUAUGAAAAAUUAUGCAUGGUGGCUUUGCCACAAGUAUGAUGUCAACUACAUGAUCAUGCAAGGCAAUAUGACAAUGAUGAUGCGUGUCAUGAUGAUGAACGGAACGGUGGAAAGUUGCAUGGCAAUAUAUCUCGGCAUGGCUAUGGAAAUGUCAUAAUAGGUAGGUAUGGUGGCUGUUUUGAGGAAGAUAUAAGGAGGCUUAGGUGUGAUAGAGCGUAUCAUAUCAUGGGGUUUGGAUGCACCGGCGAAGUUUGCACCAACUCUCAAAGUGAGAAAGGGCAAUGCAUAGUACCGAAGAGGCUAGCAAUGAUGGAAAGGUAAAAGUGCGUAUAAUCCAUGGACUCAACAUUAGUCAUAAAGAACUCAUAUACUUAUUGCAAAAGUUUUAUUAGCCCUCGAAGCAAAGUACUACUACACAUGCUUCUAGGGGGGAGGUUGGUAGGAGUUAACCAUCGCGCGCCCCCGACCUCCACUCAAGGGAAGGCAAUCAAAAGAGCACCCUAUGCAAUAAAUUUGUUACACAACUUUUACCAUGCGUGCAUGCUACGGGACUUGCCAACUUCAACACAAGCAUUCUUUAAAUUCAUAAUCACCCAACUAGCAUGACUCUAAUAUAACUACCUCCAUAUCUCAAAACAAUUAUCAAGUAUCAAAUUGAUCAUAGCAUCCAAUUCACUUCCUAUGAUAGUUUUUAUUAUACCCAACUUGGAUGCCCAUCAUUCUAGGACCAAUUUUAUAACCAUAGCAAAUACCAUUCUGAUCUAAGAGACUCUCAAAAUAAUAUAAGUGAAGCAUGAGAGAUUAAUAAUUUCUACAAAAUCAAGCCACCUUCGUGCUCUAAAAGAUUUAAGUGAAGUACUAGAGCAAAACUAUCUAGCUCAAAAGAUAUAAGUGAAGCACAUAGAGUAUUCUAAUAAAUUCCAAUCAAGUAGGUUUCUACCAAAAGGUGUGUACGGCAAGGAUGAUUGUGGUGAUCUAAAAAGCAAAUACUAAUAUCAUACAAGACGCUCCAAGCAAAACACAUAUCAUGUGGCGAAUAAAAAUAUAGCUCAAAGUAAAGUUACCGAUAGACGAAGACGAAAGAGGGGAUGCCUUCCAGGGCAUCCCAAGCUUAUGCUUUUGGUUAUCCUUGAAUAUCUUGGGGUGCCAUGGGCAUCCCCAAGCUUAGGCUCUUGCCACUCCUUAUUCCAUAGUCCAUCAAAUAUUUACCCAAAACUUGAAAACUUCUCAACACAAAACUCAACAGGAAAUCUCAUAAGCUCCGUUAGUGCAAGUGAUAGAGGCGGGGGUGUCCCGAUCUUUCGAUGAGAUUAUAACGAUCGAUGGUGGAGACGACUUUGACAAUCCGACUACAAACAUGCACGACGUUGCGCCUUAGCAAUCGCUAAACCAACUUCGAGAGGUUAUUGGCCACGCCGAAGCACGAUCAACCUGACCACGAAGAUCUAUUCCUGCAAGCAACCGAAGAACAAGCAAGAAUACGAUAAAAGCAAUCUGAAUAUUGCGAGUAUAUAUGAAGUAUUGAUAAAGAUGGGGAUCCGUAAGCGGUCUUGGUCUGGUCGUUGGACAUAAACGAAGUACACAAAGUUGCAAUGGCUAACUUUUAACUAAACAAAUCCCAAGGAAAAAGCUACUAGAUGGAUCUACUUAUAUAGGAGCAAGGGGUGGCGGCCAAGGAGGUGGGAGGACGUCCCAAGGCAGCUUAAAAGUAACCCUAGGUCGUACAAGGCUCAUGGGCCCAAUUGGAGGUGAUGCAACACCUUUGAACUUGUUGUUUGAUUCGGAUUCUGCUGCAGCGUCAGAUUGUUUCGUCGAUAUCUUAAUGCUCCGGACGAAUUUGAAGGUGAAUCCAAUUGGGUUGAAAAGAGCACAAAAUCUAGUUUCCAACAAAAAAAGAAUCACCCAAUUCGGAGUUCGUAUGAAAAAGUUGUUGGCGUUUUGAGUCAGGUAUGUCUGUGCAGUCCGAAUCUGAAUCCAGAACUUGAGAAACUUGGACUCUAUCUCCUCUUGGCCCAAAAGUGACGUGAGAGGACUUUUUGAACAGAACCCAAACUUCUCCUUUUGCCUUAUCUUCAUAUGUGGAUUGUACAAAUGUCCCAUACACCUGCUAUUAGACAAAACACAAAAGUCUGUGAAGUAUUUUUGUUCUGGAUAACAUAAAUACAUUAUUGUAUAGUUUGCACUAGAAAUCACCUGACAAAUAUGCAUGCAUCCAAUAUUUUUGAUCAUAUCCGAGGUAGUCAUGUCCUCAUCAGCAAGAAAUAAAAACCACCCCAUAACGUAUUGUAAUGAACUCAUUCUUUAUUUAUAUUGGUGUUAAACCUACUGUAUUCCAACUUCUCUAUGGUUAGCCAUAGAAGCAUCAAAAUAAGCAAACAACACACGAAAAACAGAAUCUGUCAAAAACAGAACAGCCUGUAGCAAUCUGUAACUCUCGAAUACUUCUGAAACUCUAAAAAUCCUACCAAAAUAGGAAGUCCUGGGAAAUUUUUCUAUUGAUCUACAUCAAAAAGAAUCAAUGCAAAAGCACGUUUCUGUGAAUUACUAAAAUUAUUUUCGUGCGUGCAAAAUUUCUGUUUUUCAGCAGAAUCAAAUUAACUAUAACCAUAGGUUAUCCUACAGGUUCUACUUGGCACAAACACUAAUAAAAACAUAAAAACACAUCCAAACAGAAGGUAGAUGCUAAAUUUAUUACUAAACAUAAGCAAAAACAAAAAACAUAAAUAAAAUUGGGUUGCCUCCCAACUAGCGCUAUCGUUUAACGCCCCUAGCUAGGCAUAAAAGCGAGGAUAGAUCUAAGUAGUGUCAUCUUUGGCACUCAAUUCAUAAGUAGCUCGCAUGAUAGAUUCAUAAGGUAAUUUGACUUUCUUUCUUGGAAAGUGUUCCAUGCCUUUCCUUAAUGGAAAUUGGAAUCUAAUAUUCCCUUCCUUCAUAGUUCUAAGCUAAGGUCUACCAAGAAUAAUAGGACAAGAAAGAUUGCAAUCUAUGUCAAGAACGAUAAAAUCUAGGGGCACAUAGUUCCUAUUUGCAACAAUAAGAACAUCAUUGAUCCUUCCCAUAGGAUUUUUAAUGGUGGAAUCCGCAAGGUGCAAAUUUAAAAAGUAAUCAUCAAGAUCAUGGAAACCUAGAAUAUCACAUAAAGUUUUCGGAAUUGUGGAAACACUAGCACCUACAUCACACAAAGCAUAACACUCAUGAUCUUUAAUUUUAAUCUUUAUAGUAGGUUCCCACUCAUCAUAAAGUUUUCUAGGUAUAGAAACUUCCACAUUAAGUUUUUCAUCAUAAGAUUGCAUCAAGGCAUCAACAAUAUGUUUGGUAAAGGCUUUAUUUUGACUAUAAGCAUGAGGAGAAUUCAAAACAGAUUGCAACAAGGAAAUACAAUCUUCUAAAGAACAAUUAUCAUAAUUAAAUUCCUUGAAAUCCAAUAUAGUGGGUUCAAUGCUAUUUAAAGUCUUGACCUCUCCAAUCCCACUUUUACCAAAUUUAGCAUCAAGAUCGAACUCUGAAUCAUUGGGACGCCUUUUAACUAAAGUUGACCCAUCUCCAGUCCCAUCAUUAUUAAGAUUCAUAUUGAAAACAAAGAUUUAAUAGGGGACACAUCAAUAACUUUUAGAUCUUCAUCAUUAUUUUUCCCUAACUCUUCUGGUUUGGCAGCCAUCUUAUUGAACAAGGUGGACUGCUUAUCAGAAAUUUGGGCUAUUGAUUUUUCAAGACGAGUAAUUUGAGAGUUCAAACCAUAAAAUUCCUUAGACAUAUCAUCAAGCUCUUUGUUCAUAUACCCCAUAAAGCUUUUUUGUUCUUUAAGCUCUUUUCUAAAUAAACUAUUAUGCUCAAAUUGUAAAGUCAUGAAACUUCUAACGUUUAAUUCAAUCUCAUCCAACCUUCUAAAAUGAAGGUAGGUGUUCUUAGGCAAAGCCAUAAGGGAAAACAGGCACACAGGCAAACAAAAAGGCAAGCGAAAGAGAGAGGAGAUUAGGAAAGAGAGGGCGAAUAAAACGGCAAGGGUGAAGUGGGGGGAGAGGAAAACGAGAGGAAAAUGGCAAAUAAUGUAAGUGCGAGGGAGAUGAGUUUGUGAUGGGUACUUGGUAUGUCUUGACUUGAGCGAAGACCUCCCCGACAACGGCGCCAGAAAUCCUUCUUGCUAUGUCUUGAGCUUGCGUUGGUUUUCCUUGAAGAGGAAAAGGUGAUGCGGCAAUAGUAGCAUAAGUAUUUCCCUCAGUUUUUGAGAACCAAGGUAUCAAUCCAGUAGGAGGCUCCUCAAAAGUCCCACGCACCUACACAAACAAACAAGAACUCGCAACCAACACAAUAAAGGGGUUGUCAAUCCCUUCACGGCCACUUGCGAAAGUGAGAUCUGAUAGAGAUAAUAUGAUAAGAUAAAUAUAUUUUUGGUAUUUUAUGAUUUAGAUUGGAAAAGUAAAGAUGCAAAUAAAAGUAGAUUGAAAGCUUAUAUGAUAAAAGAUAGACCCGGGGGCCAUAGGUUUCACUAGUGGCUUCUCUCAAGAUAGCAUAAGUAUUACGGUGAGUGAACAAAUUACUGUCGAGCAAUUGGUAGAAAAGAGAAUAGUUAUGAGAUUAUCUAGGCAUCACGUCCGUGACAAGUAGACCGACUCCUACCUGCAUCUACUACUAUUACUCCACACAUCGACCGCUAUCCAGCAUGCAUCUAGAGUAUUAAGUUCAUAAAGAACAAAGUAACGCAUUAAGAAAGAUGACAUGAUGUAGAGGGAUAAACUCAUGCAAUAUGAUAUAAACCCCAUCUUUUUUAUCCUCGAUGGCAACAAUACAAUACGUGCCUUGCUGCCCCUGCUGUCAUUGGGAAAGGACACCGCAAGAUUGAACCCAAAGCUAAGCACUUCUCCCAUUGCAAGAAAGAUCAAUCUAGUAGGCCAAACCAAACUGAUAAUUCAAAGAGACUUGCAAAGAUAACUUAAUCACACCUAAAAUAAUUCAGAGGAGAUUCAAAUAUUUGUCAUAGAUAAACUUGAUCAUAAACCCACAAUUCAUCGGAUCUCGACAAACACACCGCAAAAAGAGUUACAUCGAAUAGAUCUCCAAGAAGAUCGAGGAGAACUUUGUAUUGAGAUUCAAAGAGAGAGAAGAAGCCAUCUAGCUAAUAACUAUGGACCCGAAAGUCUGUGGUAAACUACUCACAACUCAUCGGAGAGGCCUUGGAGAUGAUUUAGAGGCCCUCCAUGGUUGAUUCCCCCUCCGGCGGAGCGCCGGCGAAGGCUCCAAGAUGGGAUCUCAUGGAUACAGAAGGUUACGGCGGUGGAAAUAGUUUUUCGUGGUCACUUCUGAUGUUUUCAGGGUACGUGGGUAUAUGUAGGAGGAAGAAGUAGGUCGGUGGACGCUCGAGGGGCCCACGAGGGUGGGGGGUGCGCCGGGCACCCUCAUGGCCGCCUUGCUUGUUUCUUGACUUCCACUCCAAGUCCUUUGGAUCACGUUUGUUCCAAAAAGAUCACUCCCGAAGGUUUCAUUCCGUUUGGACUCCGUUUGAUAUUCCUUUUCUUCAAAACACUGAAAUAGGCAAAAAAACAACAAUUCGGGCUCGGCCUCCGGUUAGCAGGUUAGUCCCAAAAAUGAUAUAAAAGUGUAAAGUAAAGCCCAUAAACAUCCAAAACGGGUAAUACAAUAGCAUGGAACAAUAAAAAAUUAUAGAUGCAUUGGAGACGUAUCACCGCUCCGGCUGCUCCGGCGCGUCGUAGUACUCCGCCUCCUUCUUCUUCGCCUCGUAAGCAACGAAAGAAGGCAACUGUAGCCACUCUGGCUGCUACGACAUCUAGCAGUACAACCAAAGGCGGGAGGCAAUAUAGAUUCAGUCCUUCUCUCAAGCCUCUAGAGAAGUUACCAUACGAGAUGAGCGAGGAGGAAAACAAGAAGAUCUGUUAAACCAAAGUGAAGGACUUCUUUGAAACACAAAGAGCUAAGAAACAUCCACCCCCGAAGGAGAAGAUAGAUCCGGUGAAAGCCAAGCGCACUUUGGAUGCCCUGAAGCGAGCACCACUGCCUCCGCCGCAAACCAACUAUGACCGCAUUAUUGAAAGGACAUAUAAGGAAGAAGAGCGGUCGGGAAGUACUUGCAGUGAUCGAAGGUUAGCAGAACGAAGAAGUGGGGAAAAAAUUCGCCAGCUCGACGAACAAGCGAAGCAAUUGUGCCCCCCGCUCAAGGUGUCUAGCGAUAUCGUCGCUAAUCAUCCAGGGAUGGUGCCCGGUACCAAUCCCGGAGACUACAUGCCCGAUGAUGCACUUUUUGAUACAAUGGAGGUGGACGGAUUCAAAUACCGGCACGGGAAGCCUGUCAUCAAAUCUGGUCAUCCUUCUCUAACAACGAUGAUGUGAAGAUUCCAUGAUUGGUACAUGGACAUCUACAACAAGUCUGGGAAGGAUACUUUGACGCUGAGAGUUAAAGAGGAGCACAACCUCGUUGGAACUGAUUUGUUCUCUGUUCCAUAUGAGGAGUUCUUCCAGUUUUUCAAUCAAAAGGCCCUCGACAAAGUAAUCAUCACUUGCUAUGAUCUGUAAGUACUACUUCUGUAAUUAACUCUCUAUAUAUAGCUCAGCUCUUUCAUUGCAUGUAUAUAUAUAUACCUAUCCUCACUAUAUUAUGCAGAUUGAAGAUCGUUGAAUGCAAGAAAAGACAAAUCGGUGAUAUUGGGUUUAUUAACACAAAUCUCAUAGAUGAAUGGAAUGUUAAACAUGAUGCCAAACAAACCGAGGCCAACUUGCUACAAUCGUUAUAUCGAAAUCAAAACAAAGAUACAAUACUCUUUUCUUACGAAUUCAAGUGAGUGUUACUGUCUUGUGCAUAUUCGGUUUCUCUUAUUACUCGAGGUUAUAGUAAUGUAAUUGAUGAGUUAUGCAUGCGUGCGCAACUUCCACUUUAUUCUGCUAGAGAUUAAGCUUGAGCAGGGACUAGUAACUGUCAUAGACUCGAAACGAAAAGAUCCCGUGGAGUAUGCGACCAUGACUAAAAUGCUUGAGAAGUAAGUUCAAUCGAUCAUUAUCGCACCAUAUCGGCAACUUUAUUCAUUUCCUGAUAUCAAGUAAUUGUUUUCUUUGUCUGGCAACGUUUGGAAAAAGUUCAUCGCAGAAGCUCCGGGACUGCCAGCGGAGCUGCGAUUUAAACACCCGAAAGUUAGUACUAGUAGCUAGUUCCGCGCAUCUCCCAUUGAUUCUAACUAGUUUCAUCAAUACCAUUUAGCAUGCUUGCUUAUCAGUUUGAUUGACCUCUAUUUUUUGUAAAGUGGUUGUGGCAGGAACCCGGGAAUAAUUACUGUGGAUACUACAUUUGUGAGUUCAUCCGCCACACGACCUGUGAGCGGGGCUACUCUAGAAAACAAUAUGAAGUGCGUAAGCAAUAAUAUUCAUAAUUUUAUUUUAUUACCAUCAUUUGUGUUGAGUUUCAUUCAUAUAUAUCUAUUGACCCCCUUCUUCAAAUUAGAUGUUUCAGAUGCGAGAUGAACUCCUACCACAAGAUCGCGUACGAGCAAUUCAAGGGGAAUUGGCGGGAUUCUUUUUUGACCACGUCAUCGAUAAAGACGGAGAAUACCAUGUGGAACUUGAGUUCAGAUGUUGGGAUUGUAAGAGAUCUUAUAUUGUAUAUAUAUAGCCAGUAGCGUCGGAUAGAUAUACGAAAACUUGUUGUUCGACCAAUCUCUCAGAGAAGGAGAGGUCGAUCACUUCUCUCUGUAUAUGUUCAUGACGAUCUUCUGAACUUAAUGGUUUACUUCAUUUUCUUACUAAGUAGCUAGCGUGUCGAGUCCUCUCUAUACGUAUAGUAUGUAGCGUCGACCAAGCACGGAGAUAAGAGAGGACACUUCUCUCUAUUAGGUAGCUAACACAAUAUAUGAAACCCCUAAAAUAACCCUACAAACCCCCCAAAACCCCCAACCCCCACCCCCUUUCAAAAAAAAACACAAAAACCCCAACCCCUGAACUGCUGACGCGUGGAUGCCUUUUGGUCCCGGUUGGUGCUACCAAUCGGGACAAUAGGCCCUCCUGCCUGGGCAAGCCGCAGCGGCCACAUGGAGCCCCAUCUGUCCCGGUUCGUAGGCGAAUCGGGACUAAAGAUAUUGAACUUUAGUACCGACCCUUUAGUCCCGGUUCGGGAACCGGGACAAAUGGGCCUUAUGAACCGGGACAAAUGGGCCUUUUUCUACUAGUGCUAGCGAGUUUAUAUUUUUUGGAUUCAUUAUCACAUUGCCAGAAAAAUCUGGAUUUAAAGUAAUCCUUACACUGAAGAACCCCUUUCGGUAAGUGAAAGAAUGACAACAUGUAUAGAACAAUAUUGUUGAGGACGGAAUUGAUCAAAAUCUAUCGCCCCCCAUAUGACAAGAGUUUGGCUUUUCAACUGGCUAGUCGUUUCUCGAGUCUAUCUUCCACAUGUUUCCACUCAGCAAGAGCAUCUAUAGCCAGGCUUCUCAAAUCCUCCUUAGACCAACCUCAAGCGCUGACCCAUUUGGUCCGCGCACGUCUGUAUGGGUCAAAACAACAGAAAUUGUGACCCAAGGAACGGGGACUACAACAGCUGUCAUCCGUGAUGAUAGAGAAAAUUUUAUAGCGGCACAAUACAAAUUCAUCCCAUUUGUUGUAGACGUAAUCACAAGAGAAGCUUUAGCUAUGAGCGAUGGUCUUGUCUUUACUAAUUCUCUUGGUGUCAAUCAGCUGUAAGCGGAGUCAGACACUAUACAAGUUAUCAACUUUUUUUUUGGGUGAUACAAGUUAUCAGCUAUUGUAAUGAUCAAAUCAGAUGGUGGGAUAGUAGCAGUUAUGUUCGCAGAGCGUGGAUUGAGCAACUCGAAAAAGCUCGGAUUCGAUUACAGAAAGUCGAACUAGAAGCAGAUGAGUAUCGAAUGAAUGGAUACUCUACUAGUACCAUGAUUGGGAGAUCAUUUUUAAGCAUUGCUAAGUGGUUCAUGGGCUCGCUAAUUUUUGUUCCUGUAAUAAAUCUUUUUUUAGUAGGUUUGGACGAGCCUUUAAGCUGGUUUGUCAGUAAGCUCAUAGAGGAUAUAAACAUAUUUUAAUUUAAUAAAACUAGUCAUAAUUACGUCUUCAACUCGCUUUAGCGUUUGUAGCCGUCACUAGGUGAUUUAUAGAUUUAGAUGUAACUUUUAUUAUUUUUGAUGAUACUAUUUGUAUUGCCUUGAUAAUUGAUAAAUAAAUUAGAAAAUUUUCCAGUAAAAUAAUAAAUAAAGCUAGCCAUGACCACCUUCACGGAAGACCAGCGAUAAAAAAUGGGCUGGUCGAGUACUCUACGACACACGAAACCGAAAUAACUAAUUAAGGAGUACUCCUUGCGGAGAUCACUCAAAUUUCCCCAGGUUGCGCGCCAUUUGUCGCAACCUGGGAGUUUUCCCUUUUUUCGUAGAUCCAUUUAUUCAAAAUGUUUUAUCUCUUAAACCGUGCGUCCAAAUCUCGAACCGCUUUCGCCGUUGGAUUCCUCGCGUCGAGAUUUUCAAAACUAGAUCCCAUGUUGAUAGGUUUUGACAAACUUUUUUUUCAUGAAAAAAUCGGACGAAAAAACCCGACGAAAAAACCGAACCGGGAACCCGGUUUUUUUCCCUUUCCGAAAGAGGCACGCCCAUGCCUCUGACGAAAUCACAACCGUGCCUCUCGCGGAAGCAAAAUCGUGCCUCUCGCGAAAGAAAAAACAGAAAACACAUUUUUUUCCCUUUCCGAAAGAGGCACGCUCGUGCCUCUCGCGAAAGCACAACCGUGCCUUUCGCAGAAGCAAAACCGUGCCUCUCGCGAAAGAAAAAAAAACAAAAAACGUGUUUUUUUUCCGUCUCCGAGGAGGCACGGCCGUCACUCUCGCGAAAGCACAACCGUGCCUCUCGCAGAAACAAAACCGUGCCUCUCGCGAAAGGAAAAACAAACAAAAAACACUUUUUUUUCCGUUUCUAAGAGGCACGGCCGUGCCUCUCGCGAAAACAAAACCGUGACUCUCGCGCAAAAAAAUAUUAUUUUUUGAUUUUGUUUAUCGAAAAGCUAGGAAAGACCGGCGGAAAACCAAAACGUAAAAACAACCCGAGAAAAAACCCGUUUAAAAAGCUAAAAACGCGUGCGAAAAAAUAAAAAAACAAAAUCCGGAGGGAGCGCCCAGAGCGCGACACGUGGCGAAUGACUGAGAGCGUGUCAAGUGGCGCUGAUCGUUGCAGGGCUCGUGAAGGAGCGCUCGUUAAUUAGUUGCUCCCCACGAAAACAUUCAGGUGAGAGGUAGGUGCUCUCGCUGUAAGCGAGAUAUAAUUUCCCUCGGCUCACCCCUCAAAUUGUUUUUCCUCGGCUCAGACGGAAGAAGGGCCAGCGCCCACGACAUUACGCUGUAUAGUUAUCCAUUAGAAGCCCAGUAUGGCCCAUCAAACUAAAACCACACUGCAGCCAUAAUAUAGGCCCGUUGAAGGCCAGAGACAGCAAACCCCUCCAUCGCUGAAACCCUCCAAACGCUUACCGCAAUGGGCAGGAAACCCUCGGCUUCCGCCGCCGCCGCCGCUGCCGCUGCGGCUGCCGACCACGACUCCACCGUUGCCAGCGCCAAGGCCGCCGAACUCCUAGCAGCAGCCGCUGACUGGGAGGGCAUCCAUGGGCACUCCAUGUUCUUCGACGCCCUCGUUCAGCUUAUACCCCCGCGCUUCUACCUCUCCGCCGACGAUGAUGUCCGCCCCUACUACCAGGGGCUCUCCAAGGCCGCCAAGGCGGCCAUGAAGGCUCAGUCCCGCGCCAAUAUCAAGGCUGCCCGCCGAGCCCGCCUCGACCCCGCGGGCCCGCCUUCCUCCACCCUGGACCUUCUCAAGAAGUCCGUCGCCGACCAAGAGGCGGAGGAGAAGAAGGAAGAGGAGGAGGAUAACUCAGAAGACGGAAGCCAGGAGUCCGACGACGAGGCAACCUCAGAGGGUGGCGACGAUGACCAGGACGAGGAGGAGGGAGAUGAAGAGGAGCAGGCAGAGGAUGAAAAGGAGGAGAUGCAGAUGGCCCCGGCAGCAGUUGUUUCUGAAGACCGGUCGGUGACUUACGAGGAGCUGCGAGAGCGGCUUCAUCGCCGCAUUACAGAGCUCCGUGGGAAUCGGUGCACCAGGCCAGAGUUCCUGAAUAAGCCUCAGAAGGAGAAGGGUAAGAAGGGAAAGGGUGCUAAAGUGAAGGGGAAGGAGGAGGGUACAAAGCGGAAGCGUGAGGAUGGCACCGCGGAUGCGGAGGGUAAGGAUGGGAAGAAGCACAAGAAGGAAGGGGAAGAGAAGGCACCAGAUAUCAUGUAUGGCAAUGUGCUGGUUGAUCCAAAGGAAGCAAGGCGGAGGAAGAAGAGGAGGAUCAAGAACAAGAAGAAGGAGCUGGAGCAGGCUAAGCGGAUGCAGAGGGCAAAGGAGGAUCCUAAAAAGGCCACCAAGAUGGCCUGGGAUGUGGCAACAAGGCGCGCAGCUGGGGAGAAGGUGCACGACAACCCCAAGUUGAUUAAAGAGAGCAUGAAGAAGGAUAAGAAGCGGCAGGAGAAGCACGCGGAGGAGUGGAAGGACAGGCAGAGGACAGUGGACAUCAAGAAGAAGCAGAAGCAGAAUAAGCGGAAGGAGAACAUCCAGGGGCGGGCACAGGAGAAGAAGGCGCGCAAAAUAGAGAAGCGUGAGAAGAAGCUUAUGCGCCCUGGUUUUGAGGGGCGCAAGGAAGGCUAUGUCAACGAGUGACGUCUACAUUGGAGAUGAUGGUGACUGAGUACUGUAUCUGCUUUAUUUUUGCAAGGUUGCAUAUGCUGGUGUUGGUGUUGGUACUGGAAAUAGGUAUCCAGAUCAUGACUACCAUACUUAAUUAUAGCUUGAAGGUUGAAUGUUUGGCAGGUCAUCUGGAAAAGAUUUGGAGACAUUCCUUCUGCUGUAUUUUCGUUGAGCUUAGAUAAAUUUGUUGAAAAACAAACUUUCAUGUCUGGCUUCAUAAUUAUCUCUAGCACUAGACCAAGGAAAUAUUAAUGUUCUUUUAUGUUCACUGUCCGAGGAAAUGUUAAUGAUGCUUCAAUGGAUUUUGCUCUUUUCUUUGUUAUUCCUAGCAGUGGUCUGAUAGAUUAGUUAUGUCAAAUUAUGCAUCAGUGAAGAUGUUCCGGGUACAGGCUUAUCUGAAUUCUUCUUUGCUUGGUAAAUUGGAAUCCACAAUGCCCACUUCUCAUAUGUCAUGGAUACGCCACAUGUCAAUAUUCUAUAUCAAUCUUAUUUUGCAAGCUUACUGUAGUUAUGUACAGUCUGUAUUAUGGUGUUGAGUUAUACUGCAGGACGCUGAUUUGUUAGUUUACUCUCUGCAGUUAUAUCCUAGAUUAAUUUGCAGCCUUGUUAGUAAGGCUACAUGUAUACCUUUGUGUUUAUUCAUUUGUGUCCACUGUUGUCAAGGGUGAGGCACUUGUUCCCUUCCAUUUCUUGCCAGCAAAGGGGACAGACAACACCUGCAUCUAUAUAAAAAAGGCGAUUUUCGGCCUGUCUUGUAUGUGCACAUUUCUGUUGUUACAUAUUUUACCUGCUUGACAAAGUGCAAAAAAGCAAAAGGUAUCAUUAUAUAGGUACUUGGAAUGCAAGGUUAGGACCAUCUCUCUCGACAAGGUAUUCUUUCUGUUCGGCAACAAGUUUGAUAGAUUUAUAUGAAUCGUGGCGGAUGAGGGAGGAUUGAUGGAAUGUAGAUGCGCCUUCCUUAGCAAGCACUUCCUCUGAGGUGCUUUCAGAUCGCUGAUUGCUUUCUACCCUAUGCAAGAGGCCUCUCUUUUUAGUUAUUACUUGAAUAGGAUACAUGGCCUUCAUAUUCUGUAGAUUACUUUAUUCCUGUGUGAUUUUUGCUCUAAAGAUGAUAGGUUUCAGAAUGUGGUUAGUUUUGCGUCUGACAUAUGCUUGCUGCUGUUACACAUUAUUGUACUUUUGUCUUCGACUUUGCUCUAGAAGCAUUCUUGUUCUCGACUUCCAGCUGUAUUGUUCAUGGCACUAUUUUUUUCUGCCUUUGUAGCCGAGGAUUACUGAGACUGUUUGGACUGAAUUAUGGUUUUGUAGCAUUUGUUCCAUGUGAGAGAUGGUCCUAUAUUGAUAUCAUUGUGAAAUAAUAGCGGAGUGUAGAAACUGUAUGCUAAUUUUGCAUGCAGUUCCAGACUUCCAGCUGUAUUGUUCAUGGUACUAUUUUUUUCUGCCUUUGUAGCCGAGGAUUACUGAGACUGUUUGGACUGAAUUAUGGUUUUGUAGCAUUUGUUCCAUGUGAGAAAUGGUGCUAUAUUGAUAUCAUUGUGAAAUAAUAGCGGAGUGUAGGAACUGUAUGCUAAUUUUGCAUGCAGUUCUAGACUUCCAGCUGUAUUGUUCAUGGCACUAUUUUUUUCUGCCUUUGUAGCCGACGAGGAUUACUGAGACUGUUUGGACUGAAUUAUGGUUUUGUAGCAUUUGUUCCAUGUGAGAUUUGGUGCUAUAUUGAUAUCAUUCUGAAGUAAUAGCGGAGUGUAGGAACUACGUAUAUGCUAAUUUUGCAUUUGCAUGCCUGUUGGUUUAUGAUGCCAUAAAAAACAAGGGCCCCAUACAUCAGUUGUGUAUCUUGCUUGGACUGUCUAUAUUUAUUAUUUUGGUGCUAGAUCUUUGGCUGUGAAGCCAUGAAUUUUGUCUAAUCUUGUGGUGCUUUGGCCUCUAAGCUUUCAAACUGAACCUGAAGACUACUUACUUUUGUGGAUGGCUAAAUCUGUUACCCCUGGGUUGUCCUCUGGACAAAAUUUGUACGUUCAAGUGCUAUAUCUUGAACGUUCCUUCUUUUCUUUUCAGUGACCAUGAUCAUGGUGUGACAUCAAGUUUUAUCUUUGCUCCUCCGCAUACUGCUGCUUCGUUGGUAUCAUCUAAAGGCGUCUGAACCUGGUUCUUUUUAGGCAUGGUUUUGUUUUACUCAUCAAUGCAUUUUAGAUAGUGAAAUUGUUCCUCGUUAUUCCCUGCAGGACUGUUCAUUGUUUAUUGCCUGCCAGUUGUACAUAAGUUUCGUUUGUCCUGGCUAAAGGUUGUUUCACGCUAAAAAGAAAUUAAUUUCCAUCAUAGCUUCGGCUCAGUUGUAGCUUCAGUUUACAUGCAUGAGUAGGUGUUUCCUCAUGCAGACGAGUACUACUCCCUCCAUUCCAAAAUAGAUGACCCAACUUUAUACUAAAGUUAAUACAAAGUUGGGUCAUCUAUUUUAGAACGGAGGGAGUACCUCUCUUCAUAAAUAUAAGAUGUUUUAGAGCAUCCCAGGGCGAUUUUUUUCGCGACGGCGGCGAAAAACCCCAGUCGCGCCCCGAAGAUGCCGAAAUCCGUCGGCUCGACCAGUUUUUGGGCCUGACGAUCCCAGGCCGAACCCAGCGCAAGUACACUUGGGGGCUCUGGCGGAAGGGAAAACCGCGUCUGGGCCACACUGUCACCCCGCCGAAAAAGAGAGGGUUUCGCCGCGGCAACCUCUCCAUCACCUUCCUGGGCGAGUUUUCCGGCGCUUCGGCCGCGCAUGGCGGGAUACCGACAGCUGUGCGCCCACCACGUCUGCCAGGUGUUCGACGAUUUGUCUGCUCGGUGAUGGACUCGGACGAAGAGGAGGUGCUCGCGACGCUGCUGGAGGAGGAAGCCGAUGCCGACGUCCAGGAAGAAGAGCAUCUCAUGGUCCUCGCGGCCCUGACCGGCCUGCUCGCGAGCAAAGCAAAGCCGCGGCGAGGUGGCUCGGCGUCAGGGCGGCUGAAAGCAAAGAACCGACAUCGACUGGAAGGCUAUUGCUUGCUCUACUCCGACUACUUCACCGACGCUCCAGUACACGUCGGCAAAGUAUUUCGGCGCCGUUAUCGGAUGAGCCGAAAGCUUUUCCUCAGGAUUGUGAAUUCCAUCCGGGAGUUCGACAACUACUUCAAGUGCAAGAAGAAUUGCAUCGGCACACUUGAUUCACCUCAAUCCAGAAGUGCACGAUAGCUAUGAGGAUGCUUGCAUACGGAGCUCCCGAUGAUUCACUCGACGACUAUGGGCGCAUGGCCGAGUCCACGACCAUUGAGUGUUUCUACAAGUUCUGCAGGACAGUGGCGGCAGUGUUUGGACCGCAAUACUUGCGAUUACCCAAUGCUGAAGACACUGCCCGGAUCCUAGCACAGAAUGCAGCAAGAGGAUUUCCUGGGAUGCUUGGAAGCAUCGACUGCAUGCAUUGGAAAUGGAAAAAACUGUCCAUUUGCUUGGCAGGGGAUGUACAAAGGCGCCAAAGGCGGUUGCAGUGUGGUACUUGAGGCAGUUGCCACACAGGACCUCUGGAUUUGGCACUCCUUCUUUGGUAUGCCAGGAACUCACAAUGACAUCAACGUACUGCAGUGCUCCCCUGUCUUUGCCAAGCUUGUUGAAAGUCAUUCUCCUUCGGUGAACUUCGAGGUCAAUGGGCGGCACUACAACAAGGGAUACUACCUAGCAGAUGGCAUCUAUCCGAGGUGGUCCACAUUUGUGAAGACUAUCUCAAACCCUGUGCCAGGAAGGUUUAGGAGGCUUGCGGGAAGGAUGUCUAGCGGGCAUUUGAUGUGCUCCAAUCUCGAUUUGCUGCUGUCCGAUACCCUGCUCAGACCUAGUCGAAAGAUCAAAUGUGGGAGCUCAUGGCUUGCUGUGUCAUCUUGCACAACAUAAUCAUUGAGAGCGAGCAAGAAGAGCCAGUGUUUGCCACCGAACCAUAUUACAGGCAGGGUCUUCUUGCCCAAGCUGAUCACCAGCUACCGGCAAUCUGGACUGCCUUCCUCAAUAUGCAUCAGGAGAUUCGAGAACCGCAGGUGCAUCAACAACUGCAGCAGGAUCUGGUGGAGCACCUAUGGAGGCUCAAGGGCAACACCUUAGCUCGACGUGUUAAACUAUUUGUUGAACUAUAUAAUUUGUAUUGAACUAUUUGAUUUCUAUUGAUUUUCUGUGAUGAACUAUGUGAUAAAAAAUAGUUUUUGCUAAAUUUAUGUCGAUGCACGCCGAAUCACGCCGAAUACGGGCCGAAAUUGGUCAAUUCGCGCUGAUAGUGGGCCAUUUUGCGUCGAAAAUGAGCUGGAAAGUGGGCCAAUUUGCGCCGAAAAUGAGCUGGAAAGUGGGCCAAUUUGCGCCGAAAGUGGGCCGAAAUCGGCGCCUGGGGGCGACCUGGGGAGCGGCGGCUGGGAACCCGAUCGCCCCCAAGCCGAAAUUUCAGCCGGCGCGCCCCCAGGGCGGUGCUAUUUCUAGCCCCUGGAGGGUCGAAUGAGUGGAGAUGCUCUUAGAGACUUGUAUGAUUAGUCCGAAACAUCCUAUACUAGAUCGGGAACGCGCCUUGGCGUGAGGGUGCCCGUUCGAACGUUUUGGUCAAGCGUGUAAUGUUAAAUUAUUAGUAACCGAGGCCGCUAUUCCGACCAUAAAAAGGGGUAAUGAAAGGAACGCGGAGUUUCUGCACCCGAGCUCAAAUGAGCUCGGGUGAAAAGUAAAAUCAAAACUAAAUAAAAAAAUUCAAAAAAAUCCAAUUUUUUUGGGAGAAACAUUGACAAAAGUUUUAAGUGCUUGCAAAAAUUCGUCAUGAAAUCACAUUUCUAGAAGGCGUGGCAAAAAAAAAUUCGGUACUCUGAAAAUGCUACUUCCUAAAGCAUUUUGGAGCACUGAUUUUUUUUUGCCACGCUGUUCGGGAAUGUGAUUUCAUGAUGAAUUUUUGCAACCACUUAGAACUUUUGUCAAUGUUUCUCCCAAAAAAUGAUUUUUUUUGAUUUUUUUUGACUUUACUGUUCACCGAGCUCAAAUGAGCUUGGGAGCAGAAAGGCACUUUCGCAAUGAAAGCAUGAUAUUAUCACCAUGUGUCCAAAUGGGACUAACAACAUCUGAAGUAACUCAAGCUAUAAAUAGAUGUCAGACAAAAUGUACCUAAAAAUACUGGUCCGCUUAAUGUCUUUAAGUCAACCUAUUCAUAUUGCAACCUAAGAAACCUCCAAACACCCAUCCAUAAAGCCGUUGCAUUAUAAAGUAUAGAUAAAUAUUAUAUUUUGAGUACGCGAGGUAAUAAGGUGCAUGUGAAGUUGUUCUAAACCAAACAAAGUACAAAGUAGCGACGCCAGGAGCUGAUUGUAAAAUUAGUUCUCCCUUCAUUUCUUUUUAGUCUGCAUAUAAGAUUUGGUCAAAGUCAAACUUUGUAAUGUUUGACCAACUUUGUAGAAAAAAGUAUUAACAUCUACAAUACUGUAGUUAUAUGGUAUGAACAUUUAUUUCAUGAUGCAUCUAACAAUAUUAAUUUCAUAUUGUGAAUUUCGAUAUUUUUUUCUGUACUUAGUCAAAGUUAAUAAAGUUUGACUUGACCAAAUCUUAUAUACAGACAAAAAAAACGGAGGGAGUAACUGUAAGUAAGCUAAAACAGAAUGAAAUGAAGCCAUUAUCAAUAAGUUAAAGGGAGAUGCAGAUAUAGCAGGAGGUUAAAUGGGAAUAAACAUGUAAUCAAAAUCGAAAUUAUCUAAGAAGUACAUUCACUUACCUAACACAACAGCGUAGAAAGCAUCAUGGGAGAGUAUGCGUACACGGUGGAAUGCAUCUUCGGCCAUGAUAAAAAAUGAAGAACUACCGAAGAACCAGUCGGAAAGAAAGAUUGAUUACAUGCACAAAAUAAGAAGCCACCAAACAGUAUACAAACAUAGAAAGCCAUUUCACGAUAGAUUUAGCACCAAAUAUCACAGUCAUAGAGCGUACACAACACGGGGUGGCUUAAAGACGAUUGUAUAGUAGUCCGUACAGUCAUAUGCAUAGAAUAACGAGUGCUCGUUACAGAUCAUGCUUACAAAAAGGACAUAAUUAACUGCAUCUUGGGAGAUAUAGCAGACGGUCAUUGUGUCUGCACCCGGUGAUCCAUCCGAAUCUAACCCGCAAGAAUGCCAAAAAGAGGUCACAUAUCAGAGUACAUGAAAAUUACUGAGAAGACAUCACUUGUUUUUAAGUACCUCUUUACUCUUCACAGCCGCGUUUGCGUUUUUCAAAAAGAUCUUUGCGAGCAUCGCACACAAAUUGUUUCCCAGCUCAUUUGUUGUUCAAUAGUCCAACAUGGCUUAAUGAUCUGGUAUAUGGAACAAUUAAAACCUAGAGAGGCAAGGUUUCUCAAGUUUACCUUGACCCGUCUAGUUUGGGAGGAGGUGUCAUCUGCUGGUUGGUCAUGCUCUGCACAUCCUAAGAAGGGAUCAGUAUCAGUAGCAACGCAUCAACAAACAGUAUUUGUAAGUAGAUCAUUUUGAGCACAUGAACAAUAGAUGGUCCGAUAACACAUAUGUUUUCUAUGUAACCCUGAACAGGACAAUUGCCAAUUGAUUCAUUAAAUAGGGAUUUCAUAAUGUGCAACAACAGCUACGAAAUCAAUCAGCAUAUACCAGAAAAAACAUAAGAAUAACACACUUCCUAGCAAACACACACAGCUCCUCUGAAAUAAGGAUUGGUAUGGGACAACAAAGAACAAACGAUUUUAAACCUACAAAUGAUAAGAUGGCCAGGAACACAUAUGCCUGCUAUGCAACUUUGGACAGGACAGCCACCGAGCGUUGCAUGUACAAAGGGAUUUCACAAGUUGCAACAAUGGCUACUGCAUUAACAUGUAAUAAGAAAGAUUUCAUAAAGAUGAGGCAGGGUGUUACUAAUUGCAGGGGGGAAGCAUUGUUCGCAUCUUGGCAGUUGCUUAAUACGUCAAUCUCCUUAGACAUCAUGGACAUCUUCACUUUCAAGUCUUUUGAAUGGUCUUCAAAGAGCAUUGCCCACGAGGAAGCUGCUAGUAGCUUGUGCUGACAAGGCUUUAACUCGUGGUAAUUUGCAUCAUCAAAAUAGAUCAUGGAUUUGUCUUUUAAAAAGGUCAGGACCGUCGAGCUAGCCAAUUCUACAGCACCUUCCCUUGUUAUAGCGUAAUCUCCAUGAAACAUUGUUGGCUCUGACGUGUGCCUAGUCUUGCCAGCACUCAGAUGAAGAGAAAUCGAUGCAUACAACUCUCCAUCUCCAGCAUCAAUCACCUUGGUGUUUUCUCUAAUAAGACCAAUCAUCUUUAGAGCCAAGUCCAAGAUAUACCUUCGACUUAUGGUCACACAUCUUGGAGACAGCUGGUGAGGAGGAUAGAUCGUGGAAUCCACCAUCAGUCAUGUCAUGUAUCUAAGCCAGAGAAGAUUUACAGUAUAAAACCAACACAUCGCCAGCAAAUGGGCAAACCUGAGGCAAGAACGAGACGUGCAACUCCUCGUCUGAUAUGUAGGCGUCGUCCAUUGUCCUUUCGCCAGAUUCGCUUCUCGUCUAUCUCUGCCGACAAGAUGUGGAUGUUGCUGACAACAUCUAACAUGUGCACAUAAGAACAACUCACGGCAAACAUCCUGCCAACACAAGAAAGAACCUAAAAUAAGCAAACUCCACACACACUUAAAAAACACCGAACAAGGACAAAUGUUAGACCUUCAUGAUGCAGGCUGCAAACCUUUCAAAUAAGAAAAUAGAACUUAAAUAUAUACCCCCUUGCAGUAUGUACAAGUUUGAAAUACACAUGUGACCUUGCAAUAUACAUACAACCCAGCAGCGAGCGUGCGGCAUAAGAGCAUAGGUUAACCAAUAAGGAUGCUUACCCCAUUCUAGUACUGCUAUCUUGUCUGGAUGUGAAAAGUGCUAGUUNNNNNNNNNNNNNNNNNNNNNNNNNNNNNNNNNNNNNNNNNNNNNNNNNNNNNNNNNNNNNNNNNNNNNNNNNNNNNNNNNNNNNNNNNNNNNNNNNNNNNNNNNNNNNNNNNNNNNNNNNNNNNNNNNNNNNNNNNNNNNNNNNNNNNNNNNNNNNNNNNNNNNNNNNNNNNNNNNNNNNNNNNNNNNNNNNNNNNNNNNNNNNNNNNNNNNNNNNNNNNNNNNNNUUUAUGAUAGUCUUCAAAACACGGUGGCUUUGAAGACAAACAGGUAAACUGAGUGUAUGACCUUGAAGUAUGUCUAGAGGGGGGGUGAUUAGACUAUUUGACCAAUUAAAAACUUAACCUUUUUCUAAUUUUAGUCUUUGGCUGAUUUUAGCUAUCUUAGCACAAGUCAAGCAAUCUUCACACAAUUCAAGCAAGCAUGCAAAGAGUAUAUGAGCAGCGGAAAUUAAAGCAUGCAACUUGCAAGAUUGUAAAGGGAAGGGUUUGGAGAUUUCAAACGCAAUUUGGAGACACAGUGAUUUUUGAGCCGUGGUUCCGAUAGGUGGUGCUAUCGUACAUCCACGUUGAUGGAGAAUUCAACCCACGAAGGGUAACAGUUGCGCGAGUCCACGGAGGGCUCCACCCACGAAGGGUCCACGAAGAAGCAACCUUGUCUAUCCCACCAUGGCCGUCGCCCAUGAAAGACUUGCCUCACUAGCGGUAGAUCUUCACGAAGUAGGCGAUCUCCUUGCUCUUACAAACUCCUUGGUUCAACUUCACAAUCUUGUCGGAGACUCCCAAGUGACACCUAGCCAAUCUAGGAGACACCACUCUCCAAGAAGUAACAAAUGGUGUGUUGAUGAUGAACUCCUUGCUCUUGUGCUUCAAAUGAUAGUCUCCCCAACACUCAACUCUCUCUCAUAGGAUUUGGAUCUGGUGGAAAGAAGAUUUGAGUGGAAAGCAACUUGGGGAAGGCUAGAGAUGAAGAUUCAUAUGGUAGGAAUGGAAUAUCUUGGCCUCAACACAUGAGUAGGUAGUUCUCUCUCAAAAAUGGUAAGUUGGAAGUGUAGGUUUGUUCUGAUGGCUCUCUCCACGAAUGAAGAGGAGGUGGAGGGGUAUAUAUAGCCUCCACACAAAAUCUAACCGUUACACACAAUUUACCAAUCUCGGUGGGACCGGAUCAACAAACUCGGUCGUACCGAUUCAGUAAACGUAGUGACCGUUAGUGAUUUCGGUGGGACCGACAUGCAACUCGGUGAGACCGAUAUGGUUAGGGUUAGGGCAUAACGUAAUCUCGGUGAGACUGGUUGCACAAACUUGGUGAGACCGAUUUUGGUAAUUAGCUAACCAGAGAGUUGGUCUGGUAAACUCGCUGGGACCGAUUCGCUCUUUUCGGUGAGACCGAAAUGUUACGAAAGGGAAAUGAAGAGUUUACAUUGCAAUCUCGGUGGGACCGAUCACUCACUUUGGUUAGACCAAAACGUUACGAAGGGAAACAGAGAGAUUACAAUCCCAUCUCGGUGAGACCGAGAUCCCUAUCGGUGAGACCGAGUUGCCUAGGGUUUGUGGCAGUGGCUAUGACAUCUGAACUCGGUGGCGCCGGAUAGAAAGAAUUGGUGGGGCCGAGUUUGACUUUAGGUUUAGGUCAUAUGUGGAUAUGAGAAAGUAGUUGAGGGUUUUUGGAGCAUAUCACUAAGCACUUGAAGCAAGAAACUCAUUAAGCAACACCUCAUCCCUCCUUGAUAGUAUUGGCUUUUCCUAUAGACUCAAUGCGAUCUUGGAUCACUUGAAUAGAAAAUGUAGAGUCUUGAGCUUUUGAGCUUGAGCCAAUCCUUUUAUCCUUAAUAUUUUGAGGUAUCCACUUUCAUCAUCCAUGCCAUGCCAUUCAUUGAGUUUUCCUGAAAUAUUUGUCUUGGAAUAGUAUUAGCUCAGUGAGCUAUAUGUUGUUACGAAUUACCAUAACCACCUAGGGAUAGUUGCACUUUCAAUCUCCUCCCUUUUUGGUAAUUGAUGACAACAUAUAGAUUAAAGCUUCGACAAAUGAUAAUAAGAUUGAAAAAAAACAUCGUCGCUUUGAGAAGUAUGUGAUAAGCAAGAGCUCCCCCUAAAUUUGUGCAUAGUUUAAGAUUUGCUUUGGACUGCAAAUGCACAAGGAAUUAGGCUCAUGGGUUACUCUUCCAUGUCACAUACAUCUUGGUGGAGCGCUCAAAAUAAUAAAGAUUGAAUACAUGCACUCAUCACCAAGAAAAGUGAAUGACCAUACAAAGAUAAAUAAGAUAAUAUCAUCUAACGAGCAUAAGUGUAGCUUAUGAUCAAACACAUGAUCAUCAAUGUCUCACAGACAAUAGCAUAGUAUCUCAAGCAAGAAAAAGCAAAUAAAGUUCAACCACGAAGACAAGAGAGAACAAAAGCAAACUCUCUCUCUCCCUCUUGAAGCCUAUGAUCUAUACAUUUUUCUCCCCCUUUGGCAACAAGUUACCAAAAAGUUCCUAAAAAUGCAUAGUACUAUUUCGUCUCUCAGGCUUGGUCUUCAGUUGGUGGUGUAGAGAUGACUCCUUGGACGAAGACUUCAGUUGAUGUGGAUGGAGCUGAAGGAGUUGGUGCUGGAGCUGGUUGCACUGGAGCUGUAGCUAGUGCAGAUGAAGUGGCUCUGGUGACUGUCACUGGCUCUGCAACUGAUCUCUGAGCUCGAGGCACUCUGGCAAAUGCAUCAGUAGUUGUCCUGCCCUUCCUCUCCUGCAUGUCAUCCUGUAGCUGCUCCACAACUGACUGAAUCUCAGUUACUUUGACAUCUAAAUCAUAGAAUUUUUGUUCCAUGAUUCUUUCCAGGCUCUCCUGGUUUUGAGUUAGGGUGGCCAACCCCUUCUCAAUCCUCAGAGUUGAUUCUAUCAAGUAACCAAGCUGGUCCUACUUACUCUUCAAAAAGUACUCAGAUGCCUCCUCUAGAGUUGGCAUCUUGGCAGCCUUCUCCUUCUUUGCUUUCUCCUUCUUCUCUUGAGCUUGCACUGAUGAUGGUUCAUUCUCAUUCAUGACAACUUGAUUGUCCUCAAAGUCUGGAUAGAGAAUAAAGUGUUCCUUAUCCAACAGAUAUUUGCAUGUGCCCAUUUUUGAGUUGACCAGCUCCUGGAUUUGUGGGGCAUACCCACAACUUCUUUUUUGGUCUGCUACUGUCCUCUUGAUAGUCUCAACUAUGAGGCUCAUGACCUUGAAUUUCUGUGACACAUCAAAUAUGUGUAGAAAAUUAAUUGCAUGCCCUCUGAUCAUGUUGUGGUCACCUAACUUGGGCAAAAGAGUGUGCCUAAGGAUCCAGUUGAUCAUUGUCAGCCCCGAUAGAAGAAAAUGGACAGACCCAACUUGAAAGUCUCAAGUGCCUUGUCUGGGAUCUCCUUGUACAUAUGUGACAUAGAAUUGUGAUCCUUUUUCUUCUUGGAGUAGACAUCCAAGUCAUCUUCUUUCUCCUCUGGGGCAUUGAUCAGAUUGGCCCAUUCCUCAAUAGUUGAUUGGUACUUUGUACCUUCAGACAUCCAGAUAAUUCUGCCAUCAGGAUAAAAAUGAGCUGUGGAGUAGAAUUGCAUAAAUAGCUCAUCAUUCAGUUUGUGAACUUCUGUCCAACAAACUCAUCAACUCCACAAGCCUUAAAGCUGUCAAAUACUCCUGGGUAGUGAUCCUCAUUUUCCUUCAUGUAUUUCUAGUCUACCCACCUCAUGUCACAAACUAUGGGCUUCUUAUCCAACAGCACAGUCUCAUAGAAGUCCUGCUGUUCCUUAGUGUGGAACCUGUAAUCAACAACAUUUCUUCUUCUGAUUGCAUAUGGAUCAGACAAUCUCCACUACCUGAGCCCUGCAUCUUUCCUCAGCUUCAUAUUCUCAGCCAUUGGAUGAGCAUCGUUGUGGUCUGGAAUCUUGGGUUUGAGCUUCCUCAGGACUUGUCCUUCAUCAUCUUCCUCAGCAGCAACUUCAGGCACUGGGGCCUUGUUCUUCUCAGCAGCUGGUAUGCUCCUGGUAUUCCUCUUAGGUGCAGACUUGGCCUUGGAGGCAGCUUUGGGUGCUUCUUUGGGCUUUGAUGAUGCAUCCCCUGACCUUAUAGCAUCACCCAUCAGCUUUUGUGCCUUGGGUGCUGGUGCAGCAACCUCUUCUUCCUCCUCCUCUUGCAUCAUGGAAGGUUGUCCAACAACUCUGGCCAUGGUCUUUCUGACCCUUUCCUUUCUCUUCUUUCCUUCUGCAGCUGGCUCUUUGGGAUCAGGUUUCUCAGGUUCUUGUGUUGAUCCUCUGACCUUCAACAUAGGUGUCCUCUUGGCAGGGACCUUCCUAUUUAGUGCAGGCUUUGUGGUCUUUGCUGAGCCAUACUCCUUUUUGAGCACUACCUUCUUGGAAGUAGCCUCAUCUUCAGCUUCCACAUAGUCCUCAUCCUCAGAGUCUGAGGUUCUCUUCCUUCUGGCUCUUGUGGCUACUUUUGGCAAAUUGCUAGGAGUGCUUCUGCUGCCUUCAACUGAGGAACUGGAGGGACUAGUGCCCUCACUCAUGUGAAUCUGCUCUUCUUCCCUGUUCUGGCUGUCACUUUGGUCUGACAUGUUGAAAGCACUGACUGCUGACCCUGUGAUUAGUUAUAGAUGAGAUAGAAUGGAUGAGCAUCACAAAAUGCAGAGAUUUCUGCAAAAGAAUGAUUCAAAAACUUAGUUUUAGUUUUCCACAGAAAGCAUUUCGGAUCAACCGAUUUUCAAACUCGGUGAUACCGAAGCAGCUUUUGGAGCCUAAACUAGUGAUCGCGGUCAGACCGAGUCACGGUUCGGUGGCACGGAGACUGCUAGGGUUUCACUGAGUUCUAAAAUCGGUCACACCGAUUCGUAAUUCUCGGUCAGACCGAGAGUUACUUGUGCAAUGGCGUUAGCCGAAUCGGUGGGACCGAGUUUUUCAACUCGGUGGGUCCGAGAUGGUUUCGGCGAAAACCUAACCCUAAAUUUUCAAAUCGCAUCUAUUCUAAGGAUUGUUUUGACUGGAUAGAGGUGUUUCAAUCGUGGCAAGAAUCAUAAUGAACACAAUGUGCUAGGAAUUGGACGGGGAUAGCACUAUGAUCGACUCCAUACCCUAGUUUGGCGAUGAACUCGCUACGACGGCAAUGGUGGGGAUGAAUUCCUUUGACGGCGGUGGAGACCAGCGACUGGAGGCGGCUGGCGACGAAAUCGACGAUCCGAAGACCUAGGAGGCAGAGCGAGCUAUGCGCGGGCGAAGUGGUUUGGAGAAAGUUUUCAAAAUUUUGCCCGUGUGUAUAUAUAUCCCGACCCUGUCGGUGUGAUCGAGUGGAACAACUCGGUGGCACCGAGAUGCAUAACUGUUGACAGUUACAGCAACUCGGUGAGACCGAAAAGUUCAAAUCGGUUGCACCGAGAUUGAAAACCUAGAUCGACUUAGUGAUCUCGGUAUGACCGAAAUGGAAGAAUCAGUCAGACCGACAUACACAAAGAAGUUUUGGAAGUUUAAGUCCAUGACGAAUCGGGGACUCCGAGUGCUCCUCACACAGAGUGGUUCGAAUCUGACUUUAUCAAAUUUUGUGAUGUAGCAUGAAUAGAGUUUGAGACAAGAAAAGCAUAUAUAGCUAGAGAAGGUUCUUAGGCAUUCUUGUUCAUCCACUUGGCAAAAGGAAAGAAACCAAUCAAUCAAAGCAACAAGUGGAUGUCCUCGAAUGAGUUAAAUAUGCAACCAACAUGCUCACACAAUAAAAUGGCAAAUGAAAUAUGUGGCAAAGCAUGCACAACCAAUUCUAGCAUCUAUCAAACAAUUGGCGAUGACUAGGUCAUCUAUAUAUGAGUAUAUUCACUUAGGAGUCAAAUGAGAACAUUUGAUCAUAGGUCAUACUCAUCGUUUAAGCUCAAAUGGGGUUACCACUUUUACAUAAUGCAUCGAUAUGUUCACAUCAUUAGAGUUGCUUUGACUCAAUUCUUAGAGUUAAGCUCCCCCUAGAUGUGAGAUCCCCCCUUAAAGGGAUGAACUAACCUUGGGUUUUGUCGAUGAUGACUUCAUUUAGGUGUUGAAGAUGUGGAUGCUCAAUGUUGAUGUAGAUCAUUUGGAGCAUUCCUUUGGAGUGAGUUGCACUUUCAAUACCUACAUGGGUUAGUCCCACAAGGAACAAACAAGUAUAUCCAUAGACAUAGAGUGAUGCACACACAAGAUGAUGUCCAUGAAAGCAUUAGGUCACCUUGUCCCUUGCCUUACCAACAUGAGGGUUUGUGACUCCUUGAACUAGUGCAAGAUGUGGAAGUUGAUUGCACUUGUCCUUGCCAUAAUGAUAUGAGAGAAGAAUGUUGGCGGAGUCACCCUCAAGAACUCUCUAGUUCUUCUUCUUCGGGAUCCACAUCAUCUUGAUGGGAAUCCUUGGAGUUGUAGUUGUGCUUGAUGAAGUAGAACUUGACGUAGUCUUGGGAACCCACUUGACCAAGGCCUUAGGAGCUUCUUCAAAUACAUCUAUCUCCUCUUGAAGCUUGUCCUUGCCUUUGUUCUUGUGGUCUUGUGGUGGAAGAUCAUCUUGAGCUUGUGUUCCCUUGAAGGAAGUGGGAUCAUACUUCUCUUUUUGAGGAGCAAACUUUGUCUUGGGGUAUUGAUCUUCUUCCACUCAACUCCAUUGGCAUUGAACUUUCGUUCAAAACCAACACCUUGAUUCUUCCGGUGCCUUCCUUGCUUGCGUACAAUUUCCUCAAAUUUCUUACUCCCGGCAAGGCUCUUGUAUACACCUUUCUCUAUAAUUCCCUUCAAUAAGCUAUUUUCUUGCUCAAGUGUAACUUGGCUAAGAGAAUCAUUAGUGGAAUCAAGAGAACUACUAUAAGCAACACUAUUGGAUUUAGCAUGAUUAUUGUUACUACUAGAGGAAGAAUCCUUCUUGUUCUUGUUACUAGUCUUGACUUGAGGCAUGUAAGUAGAUAAGAGUAAACACUUGGCAAUGUAAUAAGAACUUUUCUUGCGAAGAUCAUCAUUGAUUGCUUUUAAGAACUCAUGCUCUUGCUCAAGAUUGAGCUUUUCAAAGCGUAACUUCUCAUGAGUCCUCAAAAGUUCUCGAUGAUCCCCUAAGAUAGUUUCAUGAGCUAACUUAAGAGUGUUUAGUUCUUUAGUUAGAAGCUCAAUCUUCUCCUUAUCAUUGUCAUUCGUUUUAUCUUGUUUAGCAUGAUUAAUUGACGUUUCAUCAUAGUAUUCAUCACUAGAGUUGUCAAUAAGUAAAUCAUCAUCACCUAACAAGUCAUCUUCAUCACUAUUGAAAUCAACAUACUCGGGGUGAGUUACCUUAGGGCCUUUAGCCAUGAAGCAUCUUCCAAUUCCUUCAUUUGGUGAAUCAAAUAUGUCGUAGGAGUUGGUCGACACAAGUGCUAGACCGGCAACACCUUCAUCUUGAGUAUGUUCGGAGUCAGAGUGAUAGCUUCUCUCGGAGUGAUGUUCAGAGUUGAAACCGGAUACCCAUUCACCAACAUGAGCUUGAUGUCUUCGUUUUGUGUAGCUUUUUGAUGAAUUGUCCUUCCUUUCCGAAUCCUUGCUUCUCCGAGAUGUUCUUCGUUCAUAACGAUCAUCUCUACUCCUCUCUCUUGGCGGUGAUUCUUCUCUUCUACUUCUUCUCUUGGAAGAAUCUUUUCUUCUUUUGUAGGGUGCCGUACACUCAUUGGAAUAGUGUCCGGGUCUCCCACAAUUGUAGCAAUUGCGCUCUUGACUGGAAGAUCUUUUAUCAUUGUAAGACCUUGACUUGGAGCUUCUUUCUUUGUUUCUACUCUUGUAGAAUUUGUUGAAGUUCUUCACCAUUAGGCUCAAUUCUUCAUUGAAGGUUUGUUUCUCACUUGAUGAUGUAGGGGCUUCACAUGAGGCUUUGUAAGCACCACUUGACUUGUUUUGAAGUUCCUCUUUAUCCUUGAGUGACAUCUCAUGAGCAACAAUUCUUCCAAUGACCUCUGUUGGCUUGAGAUUCUUGUAGUUGGGCAUCAUUUGGAUCAAUGUGCACACGGUAUAAUAUUUUCCAUCCAAUGCUCUUAGGAUCUUCUUGAUGAUGAAUCUAUCGGUCAUCUCUUCGCUUCCUAAGCCCACAAUCUCAUUUGUGAUAAGAGCAAGCCUAGAGUACAUUUCAGUGACACCUUCACAAUCCUUCAUUUUGAACUUGUCAAGCUGACUUUGGAGCACAUCCAACUUGGAUUCCUUGACGGAGUCGGUACCUUCAUGCAUAUCAAUCAAAGUAUCCCAAAUUUCCUUUGCAUUCUCAAGACGGCUAAUUUUGUUGAAUUCUUCGGGGCAUAAUCCAUUGAAGAGGAUAUCACAAGCUUGAGCAUUGUAUUGCAGCAUCUUCAAUUCAUCCGCACUAGCUUCACGAUUUGGUUCCCUCCCAUCAAAGAGUUCACCUUGCAAGCCAAUACACACAAUAGCCCAAAUGGCGGGGUUAUGUCCGAGAAUGCAUUUUCAUCUUAUGCUUCCAACUAGCAAAAUUAGUACCAUCAAAGUAAGGACCUCUACGGUGAUAAGUUCCCUCGCUAGACGCCAUACUCUCCUAGGUUGUGAAACCAAGGCUAUGACCACCAAAAGCUAUGGAAAUCAAAGCAAAUGGAUACCAAGGCUCUGAUACCACUUCUAGGACCUUGAAGUAUGUCUAGAGGGGGGGGGGUGAUUAGACUACUUGACCAAUUAAAAACUUAACCUUUUCCCAAUUUUAGUCUUUGGCUGAUUUUAGCUAUCUUAGCACAAGUUAAGAAAUCUUCACGCAGUUCAAGCAAGCAUGCAAAGAGUAUAUGAGCAGUGGAAAUUAAAGCAUGCAACUUGCAAGAAUGUAAAGGGAAGGGUUUGGAGAUUUCAAACGCAAUUUGGAGACACGGUGAUUUUUGAGCCGUGGUUCCGAUAGGUGGUGCUAGCGUACAUCCACGUUGAUGGAGACUUCAACCCACGAAGGGUAAUGGUUGCGCGAGUCCAUGGAGGGCUCCACCCACGAAGGGUCCACGAAGAAGCAACCUUGUCUAUCCCACCAUGGCCGUCGCCCACGAAGGACUUGCCUCACUAGCGGUAGAUCUUCACGAAGUAGGCGAUCUCCUUGCCCUUACAAACUCCUUGGUUCAACUCCACAAUCUUGUCGGAGGCUCCCAAGUGACACCUAGCCAAUCUAGGAGACACCACUCUCCAAGAAGUAACAAAUGGUGUGUUGAUGAUGAACUCCUUGCUCUUGUGCUUCAAAUGAUAGUCUCCCCAACACUCAACUCUCUCUCAUAGGAUUUGGAUCUGGUGGAAAGAAGAUUUGAGUGGAAAUCAACUUGGGGAAGGCUAGAGAUGAAGAUUCAUAUGGUAGGAAUGGAAUAUCUUGGCCUCAACACAUGGGUAGGUAGUUCUCUCUCAGAAAUGGUAAGUUGGAAGUGUAGGUUUGUUCUGAUGGCUCUCUCCACGAAUGAAGAGGAGGUGGAGGGGUAUAUAUAGCCUCCACACAAAAUCUAACCGUUACACACAAUUUACCAAUCUCGGUGGGAUCGGAUCAACAAACUCGGUCGGACCGAUUCAGUAAACCUAGUGACCGUUAGUGAUUUCGGUGGGACCGACAUGCAACUCAAUGAGACCGAUAUGGUUAGGGUUAGGGCAUAACUUAAUCUCGGUGAGACCGAUUACACAAACUCGGUGAGACUGAUUUUGGUAAUUAGCUAACCAGAGAGUUGGUCUGGUAAACUCGGUGGGACCGAUUCGCUCUUUUCGGUGAGACCGAAAUGUUACAAAAGGGAAACAGAGAGUUUACAUUGCAAUCUCGGUGGGACCGAUCGCUCACUUCGGUUAGACCAAAAUGUUAUGAAGGGAAACAGAGAGAUUACAAUCCCAUCUCGGUGAGACCGAUUUGCCUAGGGUUUGUGGCAGUGGCUAUGACAUCUGAACUCGGUGGCGCCGGAUAUAAAGAAUCGGUGGGGCCGAGUUUGACUUUAGGUUUAGGUCAUAUGUGGAUAUGAGAAAGUAGUUGAGGGUUUUUGGAGCAUAUCACUAAGCACUUGAAGCAAGAAACUCAUUAAGCAACACCUCAUCCCUCCUUGAUAGUAUUGGCUUUUCCUAUAGACUCAAUGUGAUCUUGGAUCACUAAAAUAUAAAAUGUAGAGUCUUGAGCUUUUGAGCUUGAGCCAAUCCUUUUAUCCUUAAUAUUUCGAGGGAUCCACUUUCAUCAUCCAUGCCAUGCCAUUCAUUGAGCUUUCCUGAAAUAUUUGUCUUGGAAUAGUAUUAACUCAAUGAGCUAUAUGUUGUUAUGAAUUACCAAAACCACCUAGGGAUACUUGCACUUUCACUGAGCUAUAUGUUGUUAUGAAUUACCAAAACCAUCUAUGUAGAAACACUCAGCAAGAUGGAAAGGGAGGCACGGUGUGCGGGAAAAAUCACACUCGAUGUGGUAUUCGGCACCCCGAAGAAUUACAGGUCCGAAGAAAUCACAUUCCAAGUGGCUCCUUUCAGCAGCGGAUACCACGCCCUUUUAGGGCGGGAUGCAUUCACAAGCUUUCAAGCUAUACCCCGUUACGGAUACAUGAAGCUUAAAAUUCCCGGACCCAAUGGAAUCAUCACUCUAGCCAGUGACCCGGACGUUGCACUCUGCGCCAAAAAUAAAACUGCAGCACUAGCCCUGGAAGCAUUAUCCAAAGCCCUAGCGGCCGAAGAACUAACAACGCUGCGCGCCACAGUGGACAGGGACGACGUGAUACUCGACAAACGACCCAAGUCCACAACAUUUAAACCCGCAGACUAGAUAGUCAAAUUCUAGGUCCAUCCAACAGACCCCACGAAGACAGCUUCCAUCGGGACACAGUUGAGCCCCACAAUGGACGCCGCACUACGAGAAUUCCUACGCGAGAAUUGGGACAUUUUCGCCUGGCAUCCUUCAGACAUGCCGGGCAUCCCACGCAGGCUGGCCGAACACAACCUCAACAUACUGAAAGGAUACAAGCCAGUCAAACAGACUCUUAGGCGCUUCUCAGAGCCUAAACGAUAAGCCAUGGGAGAAGAGCUACCCAAGCUAAUUGAGGCCGGAUUCAUCAGAGAUAUCAAGCAUCCUGAUUGGCUGGCAAACCUGGUAAUGGUACCAAAGAAGGACAAAUCCUGGCGCCUAUGCGUGGAUUUCAAAGACCUCAACAAGGCUUGCCCCAAGGAUCCCUUCCCCCUCCCUCGCAUCGACCAAAUCAUCGACGCCACCACAGGACAUGAUUCACUAUGUUUCCUCGACGCAUACUCCGGAUACCAUCAAAUAAAGAUGGCAGAGUCCAACCAAGCCGCAACGGCAUUCAUAACGCCAUAUGGCCCUUUCUGCUUCAACACUAUGCCUUUCGGGCUUAAAAAUGCCGACGCAACCUAUCAACGCAUGAUUCAAACAUGCCUGGAGAAGCAAAUCGGCAAAACAGUGGAGGCAUAUGUGGACGACGUGGUCAUAAAAACAAGACAUGUUGAAACCCUAAUAGAUGACUUGAGGCUUACGAUCGAUAACCUCCGAACAUACGACAUCAAGCUAAACCCGAAAAAAUGUGUUUUCGGUGUACCCUCUGGGAAGCUGCAUGGCUUCAUUGUUUCCAAUAGAGGAAUUGAAGCAAAUCUGGCAAAAAUCCGAGCUCUGUCGCAGUUGGCUAUCCCAACAGACCUCAAGCAUAUCCAGAAAUUAGCUGGAUGCGUGGCUGCCUUAAGCCGCUUUAUCUCCCGAUUAGGAGAAAAGGCACUAGCCCUUUACCGCCUUCUUCAACGCACCGAACACUUCGCGUGGACGAAUGCAGCCGCGACCGGGCUGGAUGAAAUAAAGACCUUAUUGACCAGUAAUCCAGUCCUGACAGCGCCAAAUGUUGGCGAACCUAUGUUGCUAUACAUAGCUGCGACACAUCAGGUUGUCAGUGCAGUGCUCGUCGUCGAACGAGAAACAAACGGAUACAAAAUCCCGCUCCAAAAGCCAGUAUAUUAUGUGUCCACUGUCCUCACUCCAUGCAAAUCCCGAUACCCACACUAUCAAAAGAUAGCAUACGCGGUCUUCAUGGCAUCCCGGAAGCUACGACACUACUUUCAAGAGUGUUCGAUUACAGUGGCCUCCGAAGUACCACUCAACGACAUGAUAAACAACCGCGACGCCACGGGAAGGAUUGCUAAAUGGGCAAUCGAGCUCCUUCCAUUCGACAUAACAUACAAACCACGGCGGGCCAUUAAGUCGCAAGUAUUGGCCGACUUCGUCGCUGAAUGGACAGAAGCCGAACUCCCUAAAGAGUACGACGCGUACUCCAACUGGAUCAUGAACUUCGACGGCUCUAAAAUGCUGGCCGGAUUAGGAGCGGGUGUAGUCCUGACUUCCCCCACCGGAGACACAGUCAAAUAUGUACUCCAAAUAUUAUACACGGACUCCAACAACGUAGCCGAAUACGAGGCUCUGUUGCAUGGUCUUCGGAUGGCAGUCUCUAUGGGCAUUCAACGCCUGGAGGUGCGCGGGGAUUCAAACCUUGCAAUAUAACAAAUAAACGGAGAUUUUGAUGCCAAGGAUCCGAAAAUGGCGGCCUAUCGUAAUGCCGUCCUCAAAAUGUCAGCUCGGUUCGAGGGGCUCGAAUUCCACCAUAUGGCUCAAGAAAACAAUCAAGCGGCGGAUAUCCUCGCCCGCAUCAGCGCUAAACGCGACCCUGUCCCUCCUAACAUAUUCCUAGAAAGGUCGUUCAAACCAUCCGUGGUAUGGGAAGGGGAGUCCGGCAACACUAGCCCGGAUCCAAACACAACCCCAGAUUCCGAACCAUCUGACGUAAUCGGAGGCUCCGCCACCGAAAUAACAACUUCGGCCCAUGAAAUCAUGGCUGUAACCGCCUCGUGGACUGAGCCUUUUUUGGCCUACCUAAAUAGGCAGGAGCUCCCCAAGGACCAAAAUGAAGCACGUUGUAUCGUGCGGUGCUCCAAGGCCUACAAAGUCCACGAGGGAGAACUCUACAAGAAAAGUGCGACGGGAGUGCUCCAAAGAUGCAUCACCAAAGAGGAAGGGCGGCAGCUCUUGGCUGAAAUCCAUGUCGGACUCGGUGGGCACCACGCUGCGGCUCGGGCACUUGUCAGCAAAGCCUUCCGUACAGGUUUUUAUUGGCCGACGGCCCGAGCAGACGCACAUGACCUUGUCCAGCACUAUGUUGGUUGCCAGCUUUUUGCCAAUCAGAGCCAUAUGCCCCCUACCGCUGUCCAAACAAUCCCAUUACUUGGCCCUUCGCGGUCUGGGGGCUGGAUAUGGUCGGACCCUUUAAAGGGAGAAGCCAUAAGAAAAAAUACUUAUUGGUCAUGGUGGACAAGUUCACCAAAUGGAUAGAGGCCAAACCAGUUAAAACGGCCGAAUCCGGACCAGUGAUAGACUUCAUAUCAGGGGUUGUACACUGUUACGGCGUCCCCCACAACAUCAUCACUGAUAAUGGCUCAAACUUCACAGCCGAUGAAGUGAAAACUGGUGCGGCAACAUGGGCAUUGAGCUCGAUUACGCCUCCGUCUACCAUCCCCAAACAAACGGUCAGGUCGAACAUGCAAAUGGUCUCAUUAUGAGAGGCAUCAAACCCAGACUAGUGCGGUCCUUGACAGAAUCAGACACGCACUGGGUCGAGGAGCUCGACUCCGUACUCUGGGGGCUAUGGACCACGCCGAAUCGCACCACCGGAUACACACCAUUUUUAUGGUGUACGGUGCAGAAGCAGUACUACCCUGCGACAUAAUACAUGACUCACCUCGUGUGCACCUAUACAAAGAGAAGGAAGCCGAGUUAGAUCGGUAGGAUAACUUAGAUGCCCUGUAGGAGAAGCGCGACGUCGCCAAAGCCCGUUCCGCAUUCUAUCAACAACAGGCUCGACGAUAUCAAAGCAGAGAAGUGCGGGCCAAAACUUAUAAUAUUGGGGAACUUGUUCUACGCCUACCGGAGAACAAGAAGGACAAGCUCAAACCUAAGUGGGAGGGUCCCUUCAUUAUUGAUAAAGUUCUCACCGGAGGAGCGUACCGCCUGCGUAAUGCAUUUGACAACAGACUCGAGCCAAACCCAUGGAACGUGGCCAGACUCCGGAGAUUCUACGCCUAGCGCCGAACUCAGUGUUCGUCUCCUUACCCCCGCUCUUUUAAUUAUGCUCCUCCCCCUCUUUUUUUUCCUUUCUCACCCUUUUUCCCCUUUUCACACAAAGUACUCAAUACGGUGCGGAUGUUCGGAUCACUCCGGCCGCACUAUGUGUGUAAACCAUACCUGGGGGCUUCCUAUACGGAAGCUAAAUAUAAUUACUUUCAUGGCUUCUUGCCUGUCACAUAUGCGUCCUUUUUCCAUAUGUGCCUUUUCUUCACCAUUAUAUGCAUCGGUAUGACUUAAGAUGUGGCCAUGCUAGGUUGCCUGGCUCUUGUGUUUAUGCCCUACGUUCCCAUCAAUUCGGCUAGGGCAUAAGGGGAGCACCUCUGUGAUUGUUACUGCCGGUUCAGCCGGAUGUGUACCUCAGACUGGGUGAAGCCGAAAGCUAGCAUCCUUAAGGGAAUAUUCGGUCAGUGAACAAAAGAUGUUUCUUUCGUUUAUUACAAACGUGAAUCCCCAGAAGUUUUUUUUAUCUUGCGUUUCUGUUCGCAAUCCGGACAUGUACAUCGAUGCAUGCGUGCCCAGGGAAAGGAACCCCUAACGGAACUAUUCUCCCUGGAAUAUGUUUCUUACUACCCAUGUAAUAUAACAUAACUAGUUGGGUACUUGUCUGUUCAAGCACUUAUGAUACCUAUGCCUGGUUUCCACACAUACCCUGGUUCUACAUAACUAAGCGGGUAUUUGGAUACACCCCGGAAUGUCGGAUCCGAGGGCUGAAGCAAAAAGGUCCGCCAUGACAAAUGAUUUUUAAUCUGGCUAGGGACUACAUAUGUCCAUUGAAUUACAUAGUCACUUGGACUGACUAUAUUCUUCCUCUAUACCGUCCAACAAGCUAUCUAGCUUGCAAUUCUAUUGGGAAUACUUUGCGGCUAACGCUACCGGAUCAUACACCAGACUCACAUGAAUUUCUUGCCCAUCUGGCCCCACCGGUCCGACUUCGGCCAUAUGGUUCGGGUCAAGCUUGGUGUAGCGCGUCUUCACCAUGGCCCAGGCUUCCCUUGCACCUUCUCGGCAAGCUGACAUCUUCCACAAUCGAAAGCGCCGCCGUGCUCCUUGGAGCAUAUCCAUGAGCCCCCCCAUGCCUUUUGGCAGGGAAGUGGAUGGCCACAAGGCCUGGGCAAUACCCUGCAUCACCUGCCGAGCUCGCUCGUGCAGCUGUGAAAGGUCUUGCAGCAAAUCACCUGUGGACGUGGGCAUCUCCUCUUCAGGACGGCCCGUCAACAUACCUACAGAUAUAAACUCUUGCAAUAUGCUUCCUUGCCGAGCUGUACUACAGUUCAUCUAGGCACCCACCAUAAAUGCCGCGACGAAGCCUUCUGUUCUCCUUUACGGAGUCUGCCAGCUGAGCACGAACAUCGCCUAAUUUGACGCCCAGCCAGACAUUGGCAUCUUGAAGAUCGUUCUUCUCCCGCCUAACUUGUGUAAGAACACGCUCGCCAGCUUUUAGCUGCCUUUGGAGAUGUGACUCGCUAUCUCUCACGAUCUCUGGAUUCUCCCCGGGAUUGUCUGCAGAACUUUCUGUUAGACUUAUCAAACAAGCCAAUUACUAACUGGUACAUUUCCAUAAAAUUUCGUUACCAAAGACGAAUGUUACCAGGGGAGGCCUUUUGGGAUUCCUCCAGUUUGGCAACCGCGGCCCUCAACUGGGUCUUGCACUCCUCCAGCUCUUGAGACAAUUGGGUAUUCUUAUCUACAAGGACCUGUGGAUAAAAUGAUCCUUAAAUCUGUUGUUCCAACCGUUUUAAGUCUCAGGGGCUCCUGCUAUACAUGCUUAUCAAAUUUCCUUACCCGUAUAUCUUUCGCAUACUGGUCUGUCGCUCAGGCGAGUCCGCCUUGAGCAGCCCGAAUAUAUGUGUCUCCCGAAUUGAAAGCAUUAAGUGCCUCUUCGGAAAAGAUGCUAUUCCAAAGUAUGGCCCGUCGGCGCCGGUGAUUCAUGGCACUCUCCACUUUGGAAUUCGUGGCGGAGAGCAUAACCACAUCCUCUGUUGGAGGACAAUUCGGCGUUGGCCCUGCAUCGGCCUCCUCCCUUGAGGCCAGCUCUGGAAUCCGGCUGGUGGAGGCGUGAUCGGCAGGAUCUCCGCAUAUAGUCCGGAGACUCCUCUUUCUGCUAGAACAUGAAGGACACUGUUACAUUUCAAACACAAUAAUCACAGAGCAGGUUUUUUUCCAUACCUCUGUAACAACGUUUCGGCCCUAACCGCCUUCCUAUUAAGCCUACCGGACCUGGGCGCCUUCUGCUGACGAGCCCCCAGGGGCUCGGCGCCGCGCUCCGAUGGUCGUCUCUAUAAAAAUACGAUAUUUUACGCAUAAGGCAUGAUAUCAGAAAGGAAUCCUCUUCACAGGAUAAGGUUUCGACCUUGCUUACACGUGAUGCAGGUAGCAGUCCGGGAUAAUCGGCGGUAAUAGCCACCGAGGUGCCAUCACAUUUGGCCUGAUAAAAAGUCCCGUUGACAAGCUCCACAGUAAUAUCCGGAUCUUCUUCGAGUCUUGGAUUGAAGGCCCUUCCAGGGACCUCUAGCUGCGGGGAGGGGCUGUUGAAUCCUUCCACGGCCCUCCUCAGUUUCUACUCGGGAAUAUCGAGGUAAAUAAUUAUGAUGAAGGACGCCAGAAUAAAUGGAGCGGGGAAAAAAGUGACGACCUGCCCAGCUUGGGGGGUUGUACAUGGAAAAUCCAUCCCGCGGUUUAAUAUGAAGGAAUUCCUCUUCUUCCCCUUUAUACAAAUCGAACAGUAUUUUCACCAGAGCAGUGGCGGAGUCCGGACCUUUACGACCACAAUGGGUGGCGUCAUCUUCCCCGUUGUAGUGCCACAUGGGCUUCCCCCGGUAUUGAAGUGGCUGCACCCCCCGCAUUAUGCAUAUUGCUAUAACUUCGACUAUUGCUAGCCCUGAUUUGGCCAGUAUCUUUAUCCUGCUCAUCAGGAAGUGUACUUCUCUGAUAUCCUCCUCUUGGGGGCCCCGAGGGUGCCAACUUCGGCGUACCUUCGGUGGAGCAUUAUUGAACUUAGGGAGGCCCGUCCGGACUGGAUCCGGAAGGGGAAUGUCAUCAACAUAAAACCACUCCGAGGGCCAAUUUGUAGAUGCCUUCUUGGGAGUGCCGGACAGGUAUCUGGUCUCGGUGACGCACCAUAUUUCAGCUCCGCCCACUUGACAUAUGGAUUCCCUCUGGUUGUGAGGGACGAGGCAGAACAACUUCUUCCAUAAAUCAAAGUGAGCCUCACAACCCAGGAAUAAUUCACAAAGGGCGACGCAUCCUGCGAUGUGCAGUACGGAGGCAGGAGUGAAGUCGUGCAACUGGAGGCCGUAGAACUCCAGGAGCCCGCGAAGGAAUGGGUGGAUUGGAAACCCGACGCCUCUUAGCAGAUGUGGGAUGAGGCAUAUUCGCUCCCCCGAGGAUGGAUUAGGAGAUCUCUCCGCUUGCUCCCCGCCAUUAUAGGUGGCUAGUCCAGCUCAGACGGGGACCAUGAACGCCGGUGGAAGAAACCCUUGGGUCUGCAACUCUAUAAAACGGCUUUGAGGAACUGAACACUCUUCCCAGUCACCUGAUUUGGAGCGAAGAGAGCGAGAAGAAGAGCUGCGGCGACCGACCAUGUUGGAAUGGUUUUUUCCGGAGUGCUCUGUUGGAUGCUUGCUUAAGGGAAGAAGGUCAGGUUUGGAUAUGAGGAUCCUCAUCCCUUCAAAUAGAAGGUUUGCUUGCAGGGCCGGGGUGGCAAAUGAAAAAAUGCCCCGGCUCCUCGUAUUCGCUUGACAUGUGGAGAUGGCCAUUAUUGAAGCACAGAAGCCGAGGAGUACAACAUUGAUGGGAAGCCAGUUACUGUUCAUUACAACGGGAACUUUGGAAUAUUUGGGGAUGGAACCCGCCUUGCAAUGCCGAAGACAAACUGCGCACCGGACUCAUCAUCAUUUAAGCCUGGUUCAGGGGCUACUGAGGGAGUCCUAGAUUAGGGGGUAUCCGGACCGCCGGACUAUAUACUUUGGCCGGACUGAUGGACCAUGAAGAUACAAGACUCAAGGCUUCAUCCCCUGUCCGUAUGGGACUCUCCUUUGCGUGGAAGACAAGCUUGGCGAUCCGGACAUUAGAUUUUCUUUGUAACCGACUCUGUGUAAACCCUAUCCCCCCCGGCGUCUAUAUAAACCAGAGGGUUUAGUCCUUAGAGACAGAACAAUUAGAAUCAUCAUAGGCUAGCUUCUAGGGUUUAGCCUCUACGAUCUCGUGGUAGAUCAACUCUUGUAAUACUCAUAUCAUCAAGAUCAAUCAAGCAGGAAGUAGGGUUUUACCUCCAUCGAGAGGGCCCGAACCUGGGUAAAACAUUGUGUCCCUUGCCUCUUGUUACGAUCAGCCUUAGACGCACAGAUCGGGACCCCCUACCCGAGAUCCGCCGGUUUUGACACCGACAAAGGGGUAUAUAUAGCCUCCACACAAAAUCUAACCGUUACACACAACUUGCCAAUCUCAGUGAGACCGAAUUGAGAAACUCGGUCCGACCGAUUCAGCAAAUCUAGUGACCGUUAGGAUUUUCAGUGGGACUGACAUGCAAAGCAUAACGUAAUCUCGGUGAGACCGAUUACACAAACUCGGUAGGACCGAUUUUGGUAAUAAGCUAACCAGAGAGUUGGUCAGGUAAACUCGGUGGGACCGGUUGGCUCAUUUUAAUGAGACCAAAAUGUUAUGAAAAGGAGACAGAGAGUUUACAUUGCAAUCUCGGUGUGACCGAUCGCCCAUCUCGGUGGUACCAAAAUGUUACGAAGGGAAAUAGAGAGAUUACAAUCCCAUCUCGGUGAGACCGAGAUCCCUAUCGGUGAGACCGAUUUGCCUAGGGUUUGUGGCAGUGGCUAUGACAUCUGAACUCGGUGGCGCCGGAUAGAAAGAAUCGGUGGGGCCGAGUUUGACUUUUGGUUUAGGUCAUAUGUGGAUGUGAGGAAGUAGUUGAGGGAUUUGGAGCAUAUCACUAAGCACUUUGAGCAAGUAAGCCAUUAAGCAACACCUCAUCCCUCCUUGAUAGUAUUGGCUUUUCCUAUAGACUCAAUGUGAUCUUGGAUCACUAAAAUAUAAAAUGUAGAGUCUUGAGCUUCGAGCUUGAGCCAAUACUUUUGUCCUUAGCAUUUUGAUGGGUCCACUUUUCUCAUCCAUGCCAUGCCAAUCAUUGAGCUUUCCUGAAAUAUUCAUCUUGAAAUAGCAUUAGCUCAAUGAGCUAUAUGUUGUUAGGAAUUACCAAAACCACCUAGGGAUAGUUGCACUUUCAAUCUCCCCCAUUUUGGUAAUUGAUGACAACAUAUAGAUCAAAGCUUCGACAAAUGAUAAUAAGAGUGAAAAACAUUGUCGCUUUGAGAAGUAUGUGAAUUGUAAGAGCUCCCCCUAAAUGUGUGCAUAUAUUAGAAUUUGCUUUGGACUGCAAAUGCACAAUGAGUUGGGAUCAUGGGUUACUCUUCCAUGUCACAUACAUCUUGGUGGAGCACUCGAAAUGAUAAUAAUUAAAUGAAUGCACUCAUCACCAAGCAAAGUGAAUGAUCAUAUAGAGAUAAAAGGAUAAUGUCAUCCAACAAGCAUUAAGGUAGCAUAUGAUCAAACACAUGAUCAUCCAAGUAUCUCACAAAAUCAUAAAGUAUCUCAAACAAUCAAAUAAAGUCAGCCACCAAAACAAGAGAGAACAAAAGCAACACUCUCUCUUGAAGCCUAUGAUCUAUACAAUUUUCUCCCCCUUUGGCAACAAGUUACCAAAAAGUUCAUAGAAAAAUGCAUAGCACGAAAUCGACUCAGGUGGUGGUGUAGAGAUGGAUCCUUGGACGAAGACUUCGGUUGAUGUGGAUGGAGCUGGUGGAGUAGGUGCUGGAGCUGGUUGCACAGAAGCUGUAGCUGGUGCAGAUGAAGUGGCUCUGGUGUCUGGAAUAGGCACUACAGCUGAUCUCUGACUCCUGGGCACUCUGGCAAAAGCAUCAGUAGUAGUCUUGCCUUUACUCUCCUGCAUGUCAUCCUGAAGUUGCUCAACAACUGACUGUAUCUCAGUGACCUUCACAUCCAAGUCAUAGAACUUCUGUUGCAUGAUCCUCUCCAGGCUCUCUUGGUUUUGAGUCAGGGUGGCCAACCCCUUCUCAAUCCUCAGAGUGGAGGCAAUCAAGUAGCCAAGAUGAUCCUUCUUGCUCUUUAAGAAGUACUGAGAUGCCUCAUUAAUGGUUGGCAUCUUUGCAGCCUUUUCAGUCCUUGUCUUCUCCUUCUUUGCUUGUGCUUGCACAGAAGAUGGUUCAUCUUCAUCCAUUACCACUGUGUUGUCCUCAAAAUCUGGAUAGAUGGGCAUGUGUUCCUUGUCCAAAAGGUAUGUACCAGUGCCCAUCUUGGAGUUGAUUAGCUCCUGGAUCUGUGGGGCAUACCCACAACUUCUCUUCUGGUCUGCAGCAGUCCUCUUGAUAGUUUCCACUAUGAGUCCCAUGACCUUGAACUUUUGAGGCACAUCAAAUAUGUGAAGUAGGUUGAUAGCAUGGCCUCUGAUCAUCUUGUGAUCUCCAGACUUAGGCAAAAGAGUGUGCCUGAAGAUCCAGUUGAUUGUUGGCAAUCCUGACAGAAGGUAAUGUACUGAUCCAAACUUGUGUGUCUCAACAGUAGCAUUUGGGAUCUCUCUGUACAUGUGUGCCAUGGAGUUGCGAUCCUUCUUCUUCUUGGCAUAGACAUCCAAGUAAUCCUCUUUCUCCUUAGGUGCAUUGAUCAACUUUGCCCAUUCUUCAACUGAUGAUUGGUACCUAGUACCUUCAGACAUCCAGACAAUUCUUCCAUCUGGGUAGAAGUGAACUGUGGAGUAGAACUGCAUAAUAAGCUCAUCAUUCCACUUUGUGAGCUUCUGCCCAACAAAGUCAUCCACUACACAAGCAUUGAAACUGUCAUACACCCCUAGAUAAUGCUCUUCAUUCUUCCUGAUGUACUCCCAGUAUACCCAUCUCAUAUCACAUACAAUUGGCUUAGUGGCAGCAGUUGUGCCAUACUCCUUGAGCACCUUCUUCUUGGAAGUGGCCUCAUCCCCAACAGCCACAUAGUCUUCAUCCUCAGAAUCUGAGGUUCUCUUCUUUCUGGCCCUGGUGGCUGCCUUGGGUAACUUGCUGGGUGUGCUCCUACUACCCUCAUCAUAGCUGCUAGAGGGACUAGUGCCCUCACUCAUCUGAACCUGCUCCUCAGACUUGUUCUGACUGUCACUUUGAUCAGACAUGUUGCAAACACUGACAACAGACCCUGUGAAUAGAUAUAGAUGAGGUAGAGUAGAUGAGCAUCAUAAAAUACAUAAGUUUUUGCAACAUAAUGAGUCAAAAACUUAGUUUUAGUUUUCCACAGAAAGCAUUUCGAAUCUACCGAUUUGUAAACUCGGUGAUAGCGAAGCAGCUUUUGGAACCUAAACUAGUGAACUCGGUCAGACCGAGUCAUAGUUCGGUGGCACCGAGACUGCUAGGGUUUCACAAAGUCCUGAACUCGGUCACACCGAUUUGCAAUUCUCGGUCAGACCGAGAAUCACAUGUGCAAUGGCCUUAGCCGAAUCGGUGGAACCGAGUUCUACAACUCGAUUGGUCCGAGAUGGUUUCGGCGAAAACCUAACCCUAAAUUUUCAAUUCACAUCUAAUCUACGGAGUGUUUUUGGUGGAUAAGAUGAUCUCAAUCAUGGCAAGAUUAAUGGCAAAACAAUGUGCUAGGAAUUUGGAGUUAGGAAUAGCACAAAGAUCAAGUCCAUACCCUAGUUCGGCGAUGGACUUGCUACGGCGGCAACGACAGAGGCGAUUCCCGUUGACGGCGGCGGAGACCAGCGGCGGGAGGCAGCUGAGGACGAGGAGGACGAUCCGGAGACCCAGGGAGGCAGAGCAGGCUAAGCGCGGGCGAAAGGGUUCGGAGAAAUUUCCAAAAUUUGACCCGUGGAUACACUACAAAAAAAUACACUUCCGUGAUGAUACGUGUUUGUCACAAUAGGUCGCGUUUUUUGUCAUGCAUGUACAUCCAUGACGCUUUUAUGACAGAAUCAAGAUAGUCAUACCUGUGCUGUUAUAGAAGUGUUCCAUGACAUUACCAAAAUUAUCAUCACGGAAGUGUCCACUUCCAUGACAAUAAAAAGCGCAUCAUAAAAGUGCUUUCGUCAAGGGUGACCGACACGUGGCAUCCACUGUAACGGAAUGCCGUUAAGCUAUCGGGUCCGGUUUUGGAUCCGAUAACCCGUUAACAGCCCGGACCAAUGGGGAUUUUCCACGUGUAAAAUCAUCAUUGGCCGCAGGAAACACGUGUUGCCUCACCGUUGGGACAGAUGUCAUCCACUCAUUGGACAGGAGGCGCCUAUGAUAGGUCGACACGUGGCACUGCCCAACAGUGGCCCAUUCCGGUGAAAAAGGCCGGCCCAGUAAAAAUUAGCAGGCCAGCCCAUAUAAGGCCUACUUGUGUCAGGUCCAUUUAAGCCCACUGCCCAUACGAGAUGUGCCAAUUCGGCCCGUCAACGGUCCGUUAAAGAUUUGACACCAUUGUAGCCCAUCGUCAGUUCGAGCCCGUUAACAGCCCGCUAUAUAUUUGGGCUCAAUAUCGGCCCGAUGAGAUUUCGGCCUGUUAACGGCCCAUUUAAUGGAUGGGCCAAUUUUCAGGAUGUACAUCUUUCUGCCUUUUAGCGACCCAUUUAAAUGUUGGGCUAAUUUCCGGCCCGGUGUGUCUUUUAGCCUGUUGACGGCCCAUAAAUCUGAUGUGCCAUUUGUAGUCGGACCUGAGUUUCAGCCUUUUAGCGGCCCAUUUAAGUGUUGGGCCAAUUUCUGGCCCAGUGUCACUUUCAGCCUGUUGACGGCCCAUAAAUCAGUUGGGCCAUUUGUAGUCGGACCUGAGUUUUGGCCUUUUAGCAACCCAUUUAAGUGUUGGGCCUAUUCCCGGCCCUGUGUGCCUUUCGGCCUGUUAACGGACCAUAAAUGAGUUGGGCCGUUUGUAGUCGGACCUUAGUUUUGGCCUUUUAACGGCCCAUGCCCUUCAUGGUCUAAUACCAGCCCGGUUUCUCUUUCGGCCUGCUAAAGGCCCACAACACAGUUGGGCCAUUUACAAUACGACCUAACUUUCAGCCUCUUAGCGGCCCAUGCUCUUCAUGGUCCAGUACAAGCCCACUGUCUCUUUCGGCCUGCUAAAGGCCUACAAUAUAGUUGGGCCAUAUGUAUCCCAAACUUAGUAACGGCCUAUUAACGGCCAGUGAAAUAAAUUGGGGCCACCUGUUGCCCGCUUCGAUGUCGGCCUGUAAACGACCCGGGAGGUAAGAGGGCCGACCAUUAACUUUCGGCCUAGUAACGACACAUUAACUUAAUGGGCCCACUAAAGUUCGUACAUGUCUUUAGGCCAAAUUAGAUAAUUUGACCCCAUUACAAUGAGCAAUUAUGCACAGGACCAAAACCGUUCAAGCAAUGGUACGACAUACAGGGAAUAACGUUGCACAUCCAGCAUAUAUUACAGGAAAUUACAUCCACUGGGCAAUCAAAGAUUGAUGCCAGUGCAAAUAAAUGAGCAGAACCUAACCAUGUACAACGUCACAAUCUCCAACCUCAGCACAGAUGACGCCCAUAAGCAUGUGGGCAAGUUCUUGCUGCUUUGCUACACUGUCUCUGAAAACAUUGAUCAGUUGUUGUGUCGCACGACUCUGCACCUCUGAUUCAUCCACCAUUUCCAUCAUUGCUUCAGCCAUUAAUUGGUUCACAAACAUACAUUUAUUCAGUUGCAUUCGAGACAGAGGAUACUGAACAGAUUCAGAUGGAGAUUUUGGAAGGCUUGUAUUAUUGAUAGUGGAGAGUGUCUCGACCACUGCAUCAUAACAUAAAUUAGGACGUGAACCAAACAGAUUAAUCAUGAGUUAUUGCCAUAUUACCUGGCCUAGAUUUACUGGAAAGAAACAAUGGGGUUGCCUUGCUGUUUUCAGAGUUUGUCUUCUUAUCUUCAGCAACCUGCACAAAAUUAACACACUAGCAUUGAUAUCAUUGGCCAAGUCAGAUAAUAGGAAAGCAACAUUGACACAACGAACGUUUGGGCAACUAGCCUACACGAAAUUAACACAAUAUGGCAUAGAUAUCAUUAGCCAGGUAAGGUAGUAUGAAAGCAACAUUGACACAAUGAAUGAAUGGGCAACCAGAGAAGAACUACAAUUCAGUAAUGUGCGUGAUAUGAGAUAGUACAUUCAUGCAGCUCAGUAUGCAAAACUACCAGGCAGUUUUCCUUACAAAAAUCAACAUUGGCACCUUUAACAUUUUGCUACAACUAAUUUUAGAUGAGAUAAAGGUUAGAUUCAUGCCGAUUAACAAAAUACAUGUUGAUGUAAAAAUAUAGUGAUAUACAACAGGUACUUACAUCAGCAUUGGAGCACAGAGAAUUCCCGCAAGAUAUUUUCAUCGAAUAGAGUCCCAAUGGAGGAAGUCUUCUAUCGUUUAACCUUAUUUUCUAAAAGAGAGAUGGGUAAGAAACAUGUAGAAAUAUGAUCAGAAUGCUAUAAAAUUUCAUGAUGCGAGGAUACGCACACGCUUCUUAGAAUGGAGUUGACAUUCUUUUGCUGGACUGGAGCGGACUAGUUCUUUGGCCACUGGAAUCUGCUUAUUAUCAGUGGGAGUUGGGUUUCUCUGUGCUGGAGCAGUGUCUAUGAAAAAUGGAGUUGGUUUAUUAUCUCCUGGCAUUUGGAUCUUUUGCAAAGACCUGGUUUGUAACCCUUCAGAUUCUAACAUAGCCGUCUUCCCCUUGCAUGCCUUAUAUAGAAGAAUGGUGAUUUAGUUAUAAAACAUGCUACAGCUGAGAUGGAAUAGGUACUGAAGAAUAGAAAGGCAUGACAUAUUGACAUGUAUUUCCUCCAUCCAGAAAUAAAUGGAUGGGUCUAGGCGUAUUUUAGUUCUAGAUACAUCUAGUUUUAUCCAUUUCUGCGACAUUUAAUCCGCACGGAGGGAGUAUGAUGUAAGUGUUGGGGAACGUUGCAUAAAAUAUAUUUUUCCUACGUUCACCAAGAUCCAUCUAUGAGUUCAUCUAGUAACGAGAGAGAGAGAUACAUCUACAUACCCUUGUAGAUCGCGUGCGGAAGCGUUCAAGAGAACGGGGUUGAGGUAGUCGUUCUCGUCGUGAUCCUAUCACCGGAGAUCCUAGCGCCGAACGAACGGCACCUCCACGUUCAACACACGUACGGUCAGCGUGACUUCUCCUCCGUCUUGAUCCAGCAAGGGGGAAGGAGAGGUUGAUGAAGAUCCAGCAGCACAACGGCGUGGUGGUGGAUGCAGCAGGACUCCGGCAGGGCUUCGCCAAGCAAUUGCGGGAGGAGGAAGAGGUGUAGCAGGGGGAGGGAGGCGCCAAGACUCAGGGUGCGGCUGCCCUCCCCCCUCCUUUAUAUAGGCCCCUUGGGGGGGGGGGGGCGCCGGCCCUGGAGAUGGGAAUUUCCCAAGGGGCGGCUGCCAGGGGGGGUGGAGUGCCCCCCAAGGCAAGUGGUGCGCCCCCACCCUACGGUUUCCAACCCUAGGCGCAGGGGGGGCCCAAGGGGCGGCGCACCAGCCCACUAGGGGCUGGUUCCCCUCCCACUUCAGCCCACGGGCCCCUCCAGGAUAGGUGGCCCCACCCGGUGGACCCCCGGGACCCUUCCGGUGGUCCCGGUACAAUACCGGGUGACCCUGAAACUUUCCCGAUGGCCGAAACAACAUUUCCUAUAUAUAAUUCUUUACCUCCGGACCAUUCCGGAACUCCUUGUGACGUCCGGGAUCUCAUCCGGGACUCCGAACAACAUUCGGUUUGCUGCAUACUCAUAUUCAUACAACCCUAGUGUUACCGAACCUUAAGUGUGUAGACCCUACGGGUUCGGGAGACAUGCAGACAUGACCGAGACGGCUCUCCGGUCAAUAACCAACAGCGGGAUAUGGAUACCCAUGUUGGCUCCCACAUACUCCUCGAUGAUCUCAUCGGAUGAACCACGAUGUCGAGGAUUCAAGCCACCCCGUAUACUAUUCCCUUUGUCAGACGGUAUGUUACUUGCCCGAGAUUCGAUCGUCGGUAUCCCAAUACCUCAUUCAAUCUCGUUGCCGGCAAGUCACUUUACUCGUACUGUAAUGCAUGAUCCUGUGACCAGACACUUGGUCACUUUGAGCUCAUUAUGAUGAUGCACUACCGAGUGGGCCCAGUGAUACCUCUCCGUUAUACGGAGUGACAAAUCCCAGUCUCGAUCCGUGUCAACCCAACAGACACUUUUGGAGAUACCUGUAGUGCACCUUUAUAGUCACCCAGUUACGUUGUGACGUUUGGUACACCCAAAGCACUCCUACGGUGUCCAGGAGUUACAGGAUCUCAUGGUCUAAGGAAGAGAUACUUGACACAUGAGAAGCUCUAGCAAAACGAACUACACGAUCUUGUGCUAUGCUUAGGAUUGGGUCUUGUCCAUCACAUCAUUCUCCUAAUGAUGUGAUCCCGUUAUCAACGACAUCCAAUGUCCAUAGUCAGGAAACCAUGACUAUCUGUUGAUCAACGAGCUAGUCAACUAGAGGCUCACUAGGGACAUGUUGUGGUCUAAGUAUUCACACGUGUAUUACGAUUUCCGGAUAAUACAAUUAUAGCAUGAAUAAAACACAACUAUCAUGAACAAAGAAAUAUAAUAAUAAUCCUUUUAUUAUUGCCUCUAGGGCAUAUUUCCAACAGUCUCCCACUUGCACUAGAGUCAAUAAUCUAGUUACAUUGUGAUGAAUCGAACACCCAUAGAGUUCUGGUGUUGAUCAUGUUUUGCUCGCGGAAGAGGUUUAGUCAAUGGAUCUGCGACAUUCACAUCCGUAUGUACUUUGCAAAUAUCUAUGUCUCCAUCUUGAACAUUUUCAUGGAUGGAUUUGAAAUGACGCUUGAUGUGCCUGGUCUUCUUGUGAAACCUGGGCUCCUUAGCAAGGGCAAUAGCUCCAGUGUUGUCACAGAAGAGAGUGAUUGGCCCCGACGCAUUGGGUAUGACUCCUAGGUCGGUGAUGAACUCCUUCAUCCAUAUUGCUUCAUGCGCUGCCUCCGAGGUUGCCAUGUACUCCUCUUCACAUGUAGAUCCCGCCACGACGCUCUGCUUGCAACUGCACCAGCUUACUGCUCCACGAUUCAACAUAUACACGUAUCCGGUUUGUGACUUAGAGUCAUCCAGAUCUGUGUUGAAGCUAGCGUCGACGUAACCCUUUACGACGAGCUCUUCGUCACCUCCAUAAACGAGAAACAUGUCCUUUGUCCUUUUCAGGUACUUUAGGAUAUUCUUGACCGCUGUCCAGUGUUCCUUGCCGGGAUUACUUUGGUACCUACCUACCAAACUUACGGCAAGGUUUACAUCUGGUCUGGUACAUAGCAUGGCAUACAUAAUAGAUCCUAUGGCCGAGGCAUAGGGGAUGGCACUCAUCUCUUCUUUAUCUUCUGCCGUGGUCGGGCAUUGAGCUGAGCUCAAUCUCACACCUUGCAAUACAUGCAAGAACCCUUUCUUGGAUUGAUCCAUUUUGAACUUCUUCAAAAUCUUAUCAAGGUAUGUGCUUUGUGAAAGACCUAUGAGGCAUCUCGAUCUAUCCGUAUAGAUCUUGAUGCCUAAUAUGUAAGCAGCUUCUCCAAGGUCCUUCAUUGAAAAACACUUAUUCAAGUAGGACUUAAUGCUGUCCAAGAAUUCUAUAUCAUUUCCCAUCAAAAGUAUGUCAUCUACAUAUAAUAUGAGAAAUGCUACAAAGCUCCCACUCACUUUCUUGUAAACGCAGGCUUCUCCAUAAGUCUGCAUAAACCCAAACGCUUUGAUCAUUUCAUCAAAGUGAAUGUUCCAACUCCGAGAUGCUUGCACCAGCCCAUAAAUGUAUCGCUGGAGCUUGCAUACUUUGUUAGCAUUCUUAGGAUCGACAAAACCUUCCGGCUGCAUCAUAUACAGCUCUUCCUUAAGAUAACCGUUAAGGAAUGCCGUUUUGACGUCCAUCUGCCAUAUCUCAUAAUCAUAGUAUGCGGCAAUUGCUAACAUGAUUUGGACGGACUUAAGCUUCGCUACGGGAGAGAAAGUCUCAUCAUAGUCAACCCCUUGAACUUGUCGAUAACCCUUAGCAACAAGUCGAGCUUUAUAGAUGGUGACAUUACCAUCCGCGUCCGUCUUCUUCUUAAAGAUCCAUUUGUUUUCUAUCGCUCGCUGAUCAUCGGGCAAGUCAGUCAAAGUCCAUACUUUGUUUUCAUACAUGGAUUCUAUCUCGGACUGCAUGGCUUCUAGCCAUUUGUUGGAAUCUGGGCCCACCAUCGCUUCUUCAUAGUUUGAAGGUUCACCGUUGUCUAACAACAUGAUUUCCAGGACAGGGUUGCCAUACCACUCUGGUGUGGAACGUGUCCUUGUGGACCUACGAAGUUCAGUAGCAACUUGAUCCGAAGUACCUUGAUCAUCAUCAUUAAUUUCCUCUCCAGUCGAUGUAGGCACCACAGGAACAUUUUCCUGAGCUGCACUACUUUCCGGUUCAAGAGGUAGUACUUCAUCGAGUUCUACUUUCCUCCCACUUACUCCUUUCGAGAGAAACUCUUUUUCUAGAAAGGAUCCGUUCUUGGCAACAAAGAUCUUGCCUUCGGAUCUAAGGUAGAAGGUAUACCCAAUGGUUUCCUUAGGGUAUCCUAUGAAGACGCAUUUUUCCGACUUGGGUUCAAGCUUUUCAGGUUGAAGUUUCUUGACAUAAGCAUCGCAUCCCCAAACUUUUAGAAACGACAGCUUAGGUUUCUUCCCAAACCAUAAUUCAUACGGUGUCGUCUCAACGGAUUUAGACGGUGCCCUAUUUAAAGUGAAUGUAGCUGUCUAUAGAGUGUAUCCCCAAAAUGAUAGCGGUAAAUCGGUAAGAGACAUCAUAGAUCGCACCAUAUCCAAUAGAGUGAGAUUACAACGUUCAGACACACCGUUAUGCUGAGGUGUUCCAGGCGGCGCGAGUUGUGAAACGAUUCCACAUUUUCUUAAGUGUGUACCAAAUUCGUGACUUAAAUAUUCUCCUCCACGAUCUGAUCGUAAGAAUUUUAUCUUUCAUUCACGGUGAUUCUCUACCUCAUUCUGAAAUUCCUUGAACUUUUCAAAGGUCUCAGACUUGUGUUUCAUCAAGUAGACAUACCCAUAUCUACUCAAGUCAUCAGUGAGAGUGAGAACAUAACGAUAUCCUCUGCGAGCCUCAACGCUCAUUGGACCACACACAUCAGUAUGUAUGAUUUCCAAUAAGUUGGUUGCUCGCUCCAUUGUUCCGGAGAACGGAGUCUUGGUCAUUUUGCCCAUGAGGCAUGGUUCGCAUGUGUGAGACUCUAAAAGUCCAUCAGCAUGGAGCUUCUUCAUGCGCUUGACACCAAUGUGACCAAGGCGGCAGUGCCACAAGUAUGUGGGACUAUCGUUAUCAACUUUACAUCUUUUGGUAUUCACACUAUGAAUAUGUGUAAUAUUACGUUCGAGAUUCAUUAAGAAUAAACCAUUGACCAUCGGGGCAUGACCAUAAAACAUAUCUCUCAUAUAAAUAGAACAACCAUUAUUCUCGGAUUUAAAUGAGUAGCCAUCUCGUAUUAAAUGAGAUCCAGAUACAAUGUUCAUGCUCAAACUUGGCACUAAAUAACAAUUAUUGAGGUUUAAAACUAAUCCCGUAGGUAAAUGUAGAGGUAGCGUGCCGACGGUGAUCACAUCGACCUUGGAACCAUUCCCGACGCGCAUCGUCACCUCGUCCUUCGCCAGUCUCCGCUUAUUCCACAGCUCCUGCUGUGAGUUACAAAUAUGAGCAACGGCAUCGGUAUCAAAUACCCAGGAGUUACUACGAGUACUGGUAAGGUACACAGCAAUUACAUGUAUAUCACAUAUACCUUUAGUGUUGCCGGCCUUCUUGUCCGCUAAGUAUUUGGGGCAGUUCCGCUUCCAGUGACCCUUCCCUUUGCAAUAAAAGCAUUCAGUCUCACGCUUGGGUCCAUUCUUUGACUUCUUCCCAGCAACUGGCUUACAGGGCGCGGCAACAUCUUUGCCGUCCUUCUUGAAGUUCUUCUUACCCUUGCCCUUCUUGAACUUAGUGGCCUUAUUGACCAUCAACACUUGAUGUUCUUUCUUGAUUUCAACCUCUGCUGACUUCAGCCUUGAAAAUUCUUCAGGAAUGGUAUUCACCAUCCCCUGCAUUUUGUAGUUCAUCACAAAGCUCUUGUAGCUCGGUGGGAGCGACUGAAGGAUUCUGUCAAUGACCGCCUUGUCCGGGAGGUUGAUCUCCAGCUGGGAUAUGCAGUUGUGCAACCCAGACAUUUUGAGUAUGUGCUCACUGACAUAACUGUUUUCCUCCAUCUUACAACUAUAGAACUUGUCGGAGACUUCAUAUCUCUCGACCCGGGCAUGAUCUUGAAAAACCAUUUUCAGCUCCUCGAACAUCUCAUAUGCUCCGUGUUGCUCAAAACGCUUUUGGAGCCCCGGUUAUAAGCUGUAAAGCAUGCCGCACUGAAUGAGGGAGUAAUCAUCAACACGUGACUGCCAAGCAUUCAUAACGUCUUGGUUCUCUGGGAUGGGUGCUUCACCUAGCGGUCCUUCUAGGACAUAUGCUUUCUUGGCUUCUAUGAGGAUGAUCCUCAGGUUCCAAACCCAGUCCGAAUAGUUGCUGCCAUCAUCUUUCAGCUUGGUUUUCUCUAGGAAUGCGUUGAAGUUCAUGUUGACAUGAGCGUUGGCCAUUUGAUCUACAAGACAUAUUUUGCAAAGAUUUUAGACUAAGUUCAUGAUAAUUAAGUUCAUCUAAUCAAAUUAUUUAAUGAACUCCCACUCAGAUUGACAUCCCUCUAGUCAUCUAAGUGUUACACGAUCCGAGUCGACUAGGCCGUGUCCGAUCAUCACAAGGAGACGGACUAGUCAUCAUUGGUGAACAUCUCCAUGUUGAUCGUAUCUUCCAUACGACUCAUGUUUGACCUUUCGGUCUCUUGUGUUCCGUGGCCAUGUCUGUACAUGCUAGGCUCGUCAAGUUAACCCUAAGUGUUUAUGCAUGUGUAAAACUGUCUUACACCCGUUGUAUGUGAACGUAAGGAUCUAUCACACCUGAUCAUCACGUGGUGCUUCGAAACGACGAACUUUAGCAACGGCGCACAGUUAGGGGGAACACUUUCUUGAAAUUAUUAUAAGGUAUCAUUUUAUUUACUACCACCGUUCGAAGUAAACAAGAUGCAUAAAACAUAAUAAACAUCACAUGCAAUUAUAUAAAGUAGUGACAUGAUAUGGCCAAUAUCAUAUAGCUCCUUCGAUCUCCAUCUUCGGGGCUCCAUGAUCAUCUUCGUCACCGGCAUGACACCAUGAUCUCCAUCAUCAUGAUCUCCAUCAUCGUGCCUCCAUGAAGUUGCUCGCCAACUAUUACUUCUACUACUAUAGCUAACGGUUUAGCAAUAAAGUAAAGUAAUUACAUGGCAUUAAAUCAUUGACACGCAGGUCAUACAAUAAUUAAGACAACUCCUAUGGCUCCUGUCGGUUGUCAUACUCAUCGACAUGCAAGUCGUGAUUCCUAUUACAAGAACAUGAUCUCAUACAUCACAAUAUAUCAUUCAUCAUUCAUCACAACUUCUGGCCAUAUCACAUCACAUGACAAUUGCUGCAAAAACAAGUUAGACGUCCUCUAAUUGUUGUUGCAUAUUUUACGUGGCUGCAAUUGGGUUCUAGCAAGAACGUUUCCUUACCUACGAAUAACCACAACGUGAUUUUGUCAACUUCUAUUUACCCUUCAUAAGGACCCUUUUCAUCGAAUCCGCUCCAACUAAAGUAGGAGAGACAGACACCCGCUAGCCACCUUAUGCAACUAGUGCAUGUCAGUCGGUGGAACCUGUCUCACGUAAGCGUACGUGUAAGGUCGGUCCGGGCCGCUUCAUCCCACAAUACCGCUGAAGCAAGAAAAGACUAGUAGUGGCAAGCAAGUUGACAAGAUCUACGCCCAUAACAGAUUUGUGUUCUACUCGUGCAAUAGAGAACUACGCAUAGACCUAGCUCUGAUACCACUGUUGUGGAACGUUGCAUAAAUAAUUUUUUUCCUACGUUCACCAAGAUCCAUCUAUGAGUUCAUCUAGCAACGAGAGAGAGAGAGAUGCAUCUACAUACCCUUGUAGAUUGCGUGCGGAAGCGUUCAAGAGAACGGGGUUGAGGUAGUCGUUCUCGUCGUGAUCCUAUCACCGGAGAUCCUAGUGCCGAACGGACGGCACCUCCGUGUUCAACACACAUACGGUCAGUGUGACGUCUCCUCCGUCUUGAUCCAGCAAGGGGGAAGGAGAGGUUGAUGAAGAUCCAGCAGCACGACGGCGUGGUGGUGGAUGCAGCAGGACUCCGGCAAGGCUUCGCCAAGCAACUGUGGGAGGAGGAAGAGGUGUAGCAGGGGGAGGGAGGCGCCAAGACUCAGGGUGUGGCUGCCCUCCCUCCCCCUCCUUUAUAUAGGCCCCUUGGGGGGGGGGCGUCGGCCCUGGAGAUGGGAAUCUCCCAAGGGGGCGGCGGCCAGGGGGGGGUGGAGUGCCCCCCAAGGCAAGUGGUGCGCCCCCCACCCUAGAGUUUCCAUCCCUAGGCGCAGGAGGGCCCAAGGGGGGCGCACCAACCCACUAGGGGCUGGUUCCCCUCCCACUUCAACCCACGGGGCCCUCCGAGAUAGGUGGCCCCACCCGAUGGACCCCCGGGACCCUUCCGGUGGUCCCGGUACAAUACCGGGUGACCCCGAAACUUUCCCGAUGGCUGAAACAACACUUCCUAUAUAUAAUUCUUUAUCUCCGGACCAUUCCGGAACUCCUCGUGACGUCCGGGAUCUCAUCCGUGACUCCGAACAACAUUCGGUUUGCUGCAUACUCAUAUUCAUACAACCCUAGCGUCACCGAACCUUAAGUGUGUAGACCCUACGGGUUCGGGAGACAUGCAGACAUGACCGAGACGGCUCCCCGGUCAAUAACCAACAGCGGGAUCUAGAUACCCAUGUUGGCUCCCACAUACUCCUCGAUGAUCUCAUCGGAUGAACCAUGAUGUCGAGGAUUCAAGCAACCCCGUAUACUAUUCCCUUUGUCAGACAGUAUGUUACUUGCCCGAGAUUCGAUCAUCGGUAUCCCAAUACCUUGUUCAAUCUCGUUGCCGGCAAGUCACUUUACUCGUACCGUAAUGCAUGAUCCCGUGACCAGACACUUGGUCACUUUGAGCUCAUUAUGAUGAUGCACUACCGAGUGGGCCCAGUGAUACCUCUCCGUUAUACGGAGUGACAAAUCCCAGUCUCGAUCCGUGUCAACCCAACAUACACUUUUGGAGAUACCUCUCCGUUAUAUGAAGAGAUACUUGACAUAGGAAAAGCUCUAGCAAAACGAACUACACGAUCUUGUGCUAUGCUUAGGUUUGGGUCUUGUCCAUCACAUCAUUCUCCUAAUGAUGUGAUCCCGUUAUCAACGACAUCCAAUGUCCAUAGUCAGGAAACCAUGACUAUCUAUUGAUCAACGAGCUAGUCAACUAGAGGCUCACUAGGGACAUGUUGUGGUCUAAGUAUUCACACGUGUAUUACGAUUUCCGGAUAAUAGAAUUAUAGCAUGAAUAAAAGACAACUAUCAUGAACAAAGAAAUAUAAUAAUAAUCCUUUUAUUAUUGCCUCUAGGGCAUAUUUCCAACAGUCUCCCACUUGCACUAGAGUCAAUAAUCUAGUUACAUUGUGAUGAAUCGAACACCCAUCGAGUUCUGGUGUUGAUCAUGUUUUGCUCGCGGAAGAGGUUUAGUCAACGGAUCUGCGACAUUCAGAUUCGUAUGUACUUUGCAAAUAUCUAUGUCUCCAUCUUGAACAUUUUCACGGAUGGAGUUGAAACGACGCUUGAUGUGCCUGGUCUUCUUGUGAAACCUAGGCUCCUUGGCAAGGGCAAUAGCUCCAGUGUUGUCACAGAAGAGAGUGAUUGGCCCCGACGCAUUGGGUAUGACUCCUAGGUCGGUGAUGAACUCCUUCAUCCAUAUUGCUUCAUGCGCUGCCUCCGAGGCUGCCAUGUACUCCGUUUCACAUGUAGAUCCCGCCACGACGCUCUGCUUGCAACUGCACCAGCUUACUGCUCCACGAUUCAACAUAUACACGUAUCCAAAGUAUUCAAACCCACUGAUAUGAGAUAGUACACUCGUCCAGCUCAGGAUGCAAAACUACCAGGCAGUUUUCCUUACAAAAAUCAACAUUGUGGCCUUUAAUCAUACAUUUUGCUACAACUAAAUUUAGAUCCGAUAAAGGUUGGAUUCAUGCCGAUUAACAAAAUACAUGCUGAUGUAAAAAUAUAGUGAUAUACAACAGGUACUUACAUCUACAUUGGAGCACAGAGAAUUGCUGCAAGAAUCUUUCCUCAUAAACGAUACCAUUGCAGAAAUUCUUCUAUCUGUUAAGCUUAUUUUCUAAAAGAGAGAUGGGUAAGAAACAUGUAGAAAAUAUGAUCAGCAUGCUAUAAAAUUUUAUGAUGCAAGGAUACGCACACGCUUCUUAGAAUUGAGUUGACUUAUUUUUGCUAGACUGGAGCGGACUAGUUCUUUGGCCAUUGGAAUCUGCUUAUUAUUAGUAGGAGUUGGGUUUCUCUGUGCUGGAGCAGUAUCUAUAAAAACUGGAGUUGGUUUAUUAUCUCCUGGCGUUUGGAUCUUUUGCAAAGGCCUUGUUUGUAACCCUUCAGAUUCUAACAUAGUCAUCUUCCCCUUGCAUGCCUUGUAUAGAAGAAUGGUGCUUUAAUUAUAAAACAUGCGACAACAGAGAGAUGGAAUAGGUACUGAAGAAUAGAAAGGCAUGACAUAUUGACAUGUAUUCCCUCCAUCCAGAAAAAAUGGAUGGGUCUAGGCGUAUUUCAGUUCUAGAUACAUCCUUUUUUAUCCAUUUCGGCAACAUGUAAUCCGGACGGAGGGAGUAUGGUGUAAGAGCUAGGGAUACAACAUGACAACACAACAAAAAAAACAC
RNAcentral lists this long non-coding RNA (62907 nucleotides) under Triticum aestivum (bread wheat). RNAcentral describes it as "long non-coding RNA (TAES_LNC012172)". The record is from RNAcentral. Lineage: Eukaryota; Viridiplantae; Streptophyta; Magnoliopsida; Poales; Poaceae.